RNAcentral lists this long non-coding RNA (69175 nucleotides) under Setaria viridis. RNAcentral's name for it is "long non-coding RNA (SVIR_LNC006068)". The record is from RNAcentral. Lineage: Eukaryota; Viridiplantae; Streptophyta; Magnoliopsida; Poales; Poaceae.
CACCUUGAGAUUUGCCUGAAGGAUCUGCAGGAAGACUUCAUGGGUGGUGCUGAAAUUAUUGUUUCUCCUCCUGUUGUCUCUUUCCGUGAAACUGUUCUUGAGAAAUCCUGCCGAACAGUCAUGAGCAAGUCCCCCAACAAGCACAACCGUCUUUACAUGGAAGCCCGUCCCUUGGAAGAGGGUCUCCCUGAGGCUAUUGAUGAGGGCCGCAUUGGUCCACGUGAUGAUCCCAAGGUUCGCUCCAAGAUCCUCUCUGAGGAGUUUGGUUGGGACAAGGAUCUUGCCAAGAAGAUUUGGUGCUUUGGACCUGAGACCACUGGCCCGAACAUGGUUGUUGAUAUGUGUAAGGGAGUGCAGUACCUCAAUGAAAUCAAGGAUUCUGUUGUGGCUGGCUUCCAGUGGGCCUCAAAGGAGGGUGCACUGGCUGAGGAGAACAUGCGUGGCAUCUGCUUUGAGGUCUGUGAUGUUGUUCUUCAUGCUGAUGCAAUUCACAGGGGUGGUGGCCAGGUCAUUCCAACUGCCAGGAGGGUUAUUUAUGCUUCUCAGCUCACUGCCAAGCCAAGGCUGCUCGAGCCAGUUUACCUUGUGGAGAUCCAGGCCCCAGAAAAUGCACUUGGUGGUAUCUAUGGUGUUCUGAACCAGAAGAGAGGGCACGUGUUUGAGGAGAUGCAGAGGCCUGGUACCCCGCUCUACAACAUCAAGGCUUACCUCCCUGUCAUCGAGUCCUUUGGGUUCUCCAGCCAACUGAGGGCUGCAACCUCUGGCCAGGCGUUCCCUCAGUGUGUGUUUGACCACUGGGACAUGAUGGGCUCUGAUCCUCUGGAGGCCGGCUCCCAGGCUGCUCAGCUGGUGUUGGAUAUCCGCAAGAGGAAGGGUCUCAAGGAGCAGAUGACCCCUCUUUCUGAGUUUGAGGACAAGCUCUAAAUUUUGGUGGUUUGUGCUGCUGUUACCCAUGCUGGUUUCAUGGCCAAUUCGUCUACUGUAACUGGAACUACUUUCAUGUUUCAUUUCCUUUAGUUGUCAGAUGCAUCUGUUUUUGAACAUCAUUGGCCAUAUGGCAUUGUGCUGCUAAGACUGUAUUUUGUUAUCCGGUUGUGAUGUAACAGAUGAAAUAGAGUUCAUAUCUGUGGUUUAAGUGGUAGUAUUUGCGGUAUAAUGCUUGUUUCUACUGCCUUCUGAAAGCCUUUCUUUUGCCUAACGGUAGAGCGGAUUAACUAAGGGUGUUGUAUCAUUUGAUUCAUUUGAUCCUUCAUCAAGGAUGAAGCCAUCUCCUCAUGGGAACACAUUAUUCUACUAUUAGAAGCGAAGAUGUAACAAAUUAGUUGAAAGAGGAGCGUUGAAAGAGGAGCGAACCAUACUUUACUAUAUGGUAAGUAGCAAAUUAGUUACAAGUAGCAAAUUAGUUGAACUUUAGGAUCAUGCACGUUGAACCUUGUUAUCUAGGAUCAUCCAUGGAUCAUGCACGUUGAACCUUGCUAACUAGGAUCAUGCACGUUGACCCUUGUUAUCUAGGAUCAUCCAUGGAUCAUACACGUUGAACUUUGCUAUCUAGGAUUAUCCAUGUAUGCAUCAUGUAGUGCAUCUGUGCAUGCAAUAUUCUGUUAUCUAGGAUCAUCCAUGGAUCAUACACGUUGAACUUUGCUAUCUAGGAUUAUCCAUGUAUACAUCAUGUAGUGCAUCUGUGCAUGCAAUAUUCUGCCCUUAGCUUGGUUUUACUGCCGAUAGCUAUAUAGUGCAUUUAAAUGCUUUUCUUUUGCCCACAGCCCCAGAGGUAGAGAGGACUAACUGUUUCUGUUGCUUUUUUUUUUUACGGUCUACGGGAGAGAGUGUGUGUGUGUGUUGGGGGUGGGAGCGCCCCCACCUGAUUUUCAUUUCAUUGAGGGUCUGUUUCAGGCCAAACGCUGUGUAGAUCAAAAGGAGAUAGAGAGAGGCAGUGUACAUCUGGUUUUGUGAUUGUUUUACAUCGAAGCAAAGACAGUGCACCAGGAGUCGGUUAUCACGCGAUCCUCUAUGCGAAACCGCUCGCGCCAAAGUCGGGCUUCGUCUCGGCAUGCCGACCAGAAGCGUUGUUGAGAUGGAGCGCAGCGCUGGAACACUGGGUCAUUCCGGUGCUUCCAUAACACCCACGGCAGAAGGAGUUUUUUCUUGCUUUGCCUUUAGCUUGGCUUUAAUCCUGUUAGCUAUGCCUAUGUAGAGCAUUUGGUCCUUCGAAUUUUAAAUCGAUGUUGAUUUUGAUUGCAUGCCGUCAUUUUGGGUUGGUUCCAACUAUGUUUUUAAUAUCAGUCGUUCUGAAGGUUACUCUGUUGACACUUGAUUGCAUAACCGUUUGCUAGUUUUGCGUGCAUCCGCGUGCUGGUUCGUCUCAUCAAGAACUAGCCGUUGCUCAAAACUCUGGCUUUCAGGCAUGGCCGCAACAGCCUGGAGGAUGUGUUGCUGUUCUGUAGCUGUAGUGUGCGUCUGUGCUAGUGGAUGCAGGGAGCCAGCGACCUAAAAGGAAUCGUGUAUUAGUGGAUGCAGGACAUCGGCCGUGGCGGCCUGGGGGAGACGACCACGCUCGACAUGAACGGCAGUAAGUUCAAUGGCACGAUCCCGGCGUCGCUUACCGGCCUAUGGAGCCUCCAGUAUCUAGAUGUGAGCGGCAACCGCUUCACCGGCACCAUCCCAGCGUUGCUAUCUGGACUCCGGAACCUCCAGCUUCUCGGCCUGAAUGACAACCUCUUCACCGGCACCAUCCCGGCGGACCUCGGCGAGCUGGCGAGCCUUCACAUGCUGUAUCUGGCAAACAACCAGUUCGAUGCAGGCCAGCUGCCGUCGUCGUUCAAGAACCUGACCAACCUGGUCAGCCUCUGGGCGUCGCAGUGCAACCUCGUCGGAGAGUUCCCGAACUUUCUUUGGAGCCUGAAGGAGCUGCAACUAUUGAAUCUGUACACGAACAACCUCACCGGCAACUUGGUGGUUGAUGGCCUUGUUGCGAGGAACUUGACAGUAAUCGACGUCUCGGAGAACAAGAUCACUGGAGUUAUCCCGAGUGUUUGGGAGCUUGGAGAACCUCAGAGACUUGAACUUCUUCAUGAACAACUUCUCCAGCGAGAUACCAGCCAGCAUCGGCCGGUUGCCCUCACUGACGAGGUUGAGGCUCCACACCAACAUGCUUAACGGCACGCUCCCACCGGAGCUCGGAAAGCAAUCGCCGGGCUUGAAUUAUGUUGAGGUUGAUUACAAUGAGCUCACCGCCGAGAUCCCGGAAGGGCUGUGCACUGGAGACAACCUCCAGCACCUCACCGCCAAGAGCAACCAAUUGAACGGCUCCAUCCCAGCAGGCCUUGCCAACUGCGCCACUCUUGGAACCCUGUCGCUGGACAACAACCAACUCUCUGGCGACGUACCAGAGGCUCUGUGGACGGCGACGAAGCUUUACCAGAGGCUCUUCCGGCCACGGUGCAUCUCAACCUUUCGACGAUACUCAUAGGGAACAACCAAUUUGGUGGCAACAUUCCGGCUGCACUAGCUGCGCUCCAGGUGUUCACCGCCGAGAACAACCGGUUUUCUGGUGCGAUACCGGCGAGUCUUGGCGACGGCAUGCCGCUGCUGCAAAGACUGAACUUAUCCGGUAACCAACUGUCCGACGGGAUCCCCAGAAGCGUUGCUAAGCUAAGCCAGCUGACGGAAAUGGACCUGAGCAGGAAUCAGCUCACCGGAGGCAUACCGGUAGAGCUCGGCGCCAUGCCGGUGUUAAGUGUCCUUAACCUGUCGUCGAACAAGCUCUCCGGCAACGUGCCGCAGGCGCUUGCGAAGCCGACACUCACCGCCCUAACCUGUCCUCGAACCAUCAGACCGGCCAGGUCCCGGCCGGGUUCGCCACCGCGGUCUACGACACCAGCUUCCUCAACAACCCCGGCCUCUGCACCGCCGCUUGGGGACCUGGCUACCUCACGGGCGUACGCUCCUGCGCCGGUGGAUCACAAGACGGCGGUUCCUCCGGAGGCGUGUCGCACGCCCUGCGCAGGGGAACCUCGCCGUGGCGUUCGCCUUCUUCGUCGUCCGCGACAUCAAGAAACGGCGGCGCGUCGCGGAGCAAGACAACUGGAAGAUCACGCCUUUCGUCAAAGAUCUGGGAUUCGGUGAGGCACCCAUACUCCGGGGGCUGACGGAGGAGAACCUCGUCGGGCGCGGGGGAUCGGGGCGCGUGUACCGCGUCGCCUACACCAACCGGCUUAACGGCCGAGCCGGCGCGGUGGCCGUAAAGCAAAUACGGACCGCCGGGAAGCUCGACCAGAAGCUGGAACGCGAAUUCGCGUCAGAGGCUGGCAUCAUCGGCAACCUCCGGCACAACAACAUCGUCAAGCUCUUGUGUUGCCGCUCCAGCGCCGAGUCCAAGCUCCUCGUGUACGACUAUGGACAACGGCAUCCUGGACAGGUGGCUCCACGGCGACGCCCUCGUCGCCGGCGGGCGCCCCAUGGCGAGGGCGCGGUCCGCGCGGCGCGAGCCGCUGGACUGGCCGGCGAGGCUCAGGGUGGCCGUCGACGCCGCGCAGGGGCUGUGCUACAUGCACCACGAGUACGAGCCGCCCAUCGUCCACCGCGACGUCAAGACGAGCAACAUCCUGCUGGACUCGGAGUUCCGGGCCAAGAUCGCCGACUUCGGGCUGGCCACAGGAUGCUGCUGCAGGCCGGGGCGCCGGAAACGAUGUCCGCCGUCGCUGGCUCGUUCGGCUACAUGGCUCCUGGUAAGGAUUCGAACUUGCUGCUUUCAGUGAAUUUCUGUCCCAUUUCUACAAAUGCCACGUGUUCUCGUGUUGCCGGACCUUAGAUUGGGCCUUUUGAUGCUUAUCUGCAGAGUGUGCUUACACCAAGAAGGUGAACGAGAAGGUAGACAGCUUCGGUGUCAUUCUCCUGGAGCUCACCACCGGAAAGGAGGCCAACAACGGCGGCGAGCACGGCUGCCUGGCGGACUGGGCACGGCGCCACUACCAAUCAGGAGGGAGCAUCGCCGACGCCACAGACAAGAGCAUCAGAUACGACGGGUACUCUGACGAGAUCCAGGUUGUCUUCAGGCUCGGCGUGCUCUGCACCGCCGAUAUGCCGUCGUCGCGGCCAACCAUGAACGACGUGCUGCAGAUCUUGGUCAAGUGCAGCGAGCAGACGUACCACAAGGGCAAGACGGAGCGUGGCCCAGAGUAUGAGGUGGCUCUUCUACCCAAACGCGGCAGUCGCCGGAAACAGCUUUCAAACGGCUCGGGGAUUUACAUCGAAGAGAAGAUGACAGCAUUGUCUGAAGAAAGGAACUGACCACUGCAUAUGCCAGUAAGCAGCUUGUGACAUCGUCAGUGAACUGCUUGCUAUAGUGAUACUUCACAUUUUAGCAGAGUACAGCGGAGAAUUAUGCCUCUAAUCUUUUUUUUUCUGAGGAGCUAAGUAUCUUUAUAUUAAAAAGAGAAUAUAAAUAGAAAAAAUCAGUCCAUUGGAAGCAACCACUCUAGCUCACCUAGGAGAAUAGAGAGAUUGCAUAAACAAGCGAAGAAAAAACCGUCACCAGACCUUGACCCUGCACGGCUGGACUAGGGACAUGCAUAGUAUAGAGCAGGGCUUGUGGUUAGCCAAACCGUUCUGUGUAUUGAUACUGCAAAUCUGUAUUAAAUCACACACACAUUAUACGUUCCGACAGAAGAACUAGCAAACAUUACGAUUAUACUCCCUCCGUUCUUAAAUAUAUAACGCUAUUGACUUUUUCAUUUGUUUGACUAUUCAUCUUUUCUACAAAUAUUUUUGCAAAUAGAUAAAUCUACGAGUUAAAUCUAAAGUACAUUUCACAAUAGUCAUAAUGAUACACAUUUUACUUUAGUUAACUAACUCAUUCAAUAGAUAUUGAUGGUCAAAGUUGGAGUAAAAAGCCAACAGCAUCAUAUAUUUAAGAAUGGAGGGAGUAAUUUAUUUCUGAAAUAAAGGCAGGAGAUGGAGCUCUGCUUAUCCAUUCAGAAAUUAGUACGAUUGAAUGAUUUUGUCUCCUUCCAGUUUUUAUUGUAAAACACAGAAUAUUACACGGAUAGGCACUGAUUGUUAUCCGGAAGAAAAUGAAUUUUUAUAUUUCAAAAGAAAAGGCCCAAUUUGCACCCUCUAGCUAGCACGAUAAUCCAAUUUUCAGCUAAACUGACCAUGGGCCGGCCCAAAGGCACAGGAAUUUGGCCCGGUCUAGGCAUGGCGGCCGUCGUGCUCGUGCUAACCCGACCCACACCAUGGGCCGUGCUUGGGCCGUUGCCUCAGCCCACGUACUGGUCCGGCACGGCCUGCCCAUUUGGCCCGUCGGGAUUAAGUGGGCGGCCCAUCCUAUUAAGGCCCACUCGACCGCAUAUAAAACCCCCCACCCCCAAACGGCCAAACCCUACCUUCCUCUUCGUGUCCCGCGCCCUUCGCCGCCGUCACCUCCCCCGCGCCCUUCGCCGCCUCUCGCGCCCGCCGGCCGCUCACGCCCUCCGCCGCUUCCCCCCGCCGCCUCCCUCACGCCCUCCGCCGCAUCCUCCCACCGCCUCCCUCGUGCCCUCCGCCACCUCCCGCGCCCGCCGGCCUCUCGCUCCCCUGCCACCUCCCCCGCGGCCCUCUGCCGCCUCCUACACCCGCCGGUCCCUUGCCGCAAUUGGGGAAGAUGGUGGCCUGCACGGCGGCGCGCGCAAACGUCCUGUCGUCCCUCGGCGGUGGGAGCUGCGGCACGAGUGGGCGCCUGGGCAGAUCCGGGAAAGGUCUAUGGGCGCCCUGACGACGAGGUGGUCGAAGUCAUCGGGGCUAUCGAACUCGACGACGACAGGCGCUACGGGCGUAUGAGCAGAGGAAGGGUGAAUUCUGUGCCGCAGGCUGGCACGAGCACGGUGAGGCCGUUAAGGCCUGCCAGGCCAGCGUGCCAGCACGGCCCACCUAAGAAGGCUGCGGGUCAUGCCUGGACCGCUCCUUCGGCACAUGGGCCGGCACGGCCUGGCACUAUUACCGUGCAAGCCUAACCGUGCCGGGCCUAACCGUGCCAGGCCAAAUCGUGCUCGUGCCAGGCCGGGUUGGGCUACCUGUUUGGCCAUCUAUACAUCCAACGGUUGAAACCAGAUAAAUUUUAUCCUUUAGCUGGUUUCAAAGAUGUUUUUUUGUUUUAUUAGACAUUUAAAAAAAAUCUGAUUUAAUCUUGUUGGGGGGAAAUAUUAACGAUCCCCUAAAUACCACUUAAAGGAGCAGACGCGAAGGCCCGGGCCCACCUAAGCAUAAUCAAAACUCCGCCUCGCCCGACCGCGGCCUCAGGGUCAGGAACGCCCGACCCCCCUCCACGAGGUUUCCGCCUCGUCCGACUGCGGCCCCAGGGUCGAAGGCGCCCGAUCCCUCGCCACAAGGUUCCGCCUCGUCCGACCCCAAGCGCAGGGGUCGGGCUCGCUGGGGCCCCCAGGGCAGGCAUCCCCCUCGGAUGUGGACCAGGUGGGCAAGAUAAACAAAUCUUGCGGGUCCCCCCCCCCAUCGGCCUCGUCAUAAAUGCGCUGCGGGCCUGGCAGAGGGAGGAAUGACCACGCUCCUCACACAACCCGCCGCAAGUACCCAUGCACGACCAUACUGUACAAGCUACAGCGCUGGCGGCUCACUCCCAUUCGCCGCAGGGUACUCAUGGCCUGCGCCGACCGGAGCGGAGGAGAGACUCGCCUGUCCUCGAGCCCCGCGCACCCUCGGGUCCCGUGCGCCUGGCAUCUAGGAUGUGACGCCCUCUCUCCAGGAGCCAUCAUCAGAAUGGCAGCAUCCACCGUCCUCCCCAACGGACACCGGGAUAACGACGAAACGCCCUCAUCAUAACCCGACGCCUACGGAUGCCGAAGGAGCUAUCUGUAGGGUGCAACGACAGUUGGCGCACGGCCGCCUCCCCCUCCGGCAUGCACGCCGGCGCUCGCCAGGAGCCGGCGGAGGCGUCGGGCGUCUAGGAACUUGUUCCUCCCAUCCUGCCGUAUUUUUUACCGUACUACGUUCACAUUUUACGGUCCUCUUCGCCCGAUCCCAACUGUAACUCUGGCCACUCCCCUUGCGAUAUAAAAGGAGGAACACAGGGCCGGAGGGGGGGAUCGGCUUCUUCCCCCUCAAGCCACAGCAUGCUAGUACGCUCCCUGAGAACAUAGGCUCAAAGAGACUUGGGACCAGUCCCUCUCUCGUCGGUCUGUAACCCCUACUACAGAACCCCGCGUGGGCAAUACGAGCAUCCACGAUACUGGACGUAGGGCUCCCUUUGCUCGAACCAGUCUAAUCCGUGUCUCCCACGCCACCAUCUGAGGCCUUACGCGCAUAAAAGAAAUUUACUAGUCUAAGUCUUGAUCCGCCAAUCUUGACAACGACAGUUGGCGCGCUAGGUAGGGGACCUUUGCGCAUACCCUCCCAGCCUCAGAUGGCCAAUUACGAUAGUAGCUUUGCUCCGGGCUCCCUGAUCCGAUUCGGGAGCCUGGACUUCCUCGCCACCGGGGAAGGGAUCAAGCUGAUCCCUGUCCUCAUCCUGCCCGCUCGCCCGCCUGCCCCCGGCCCCGCCGCCGGGACAGCGGUGAGCGGCCGCUCGCAUACCGGAAGGACCUCGCCAGGGGGACGGCCCUUCGGGCUACGCAAUGCCACGGGGGCCUACGGACGCCUCCUAGCGCGGUCCAUGACCGCGUCGCCCGCGAGCAACGAGCUCGUAGGUGCGACAAGGACGAUCUCCGACACCGGCUCCAGCAGCGGGAGCCCCCACCCCUCGCGUGAGUGCCUCGUGGUCGACGAGCACUCUGAGGGAUCCAACAGCAACGAUGCCGAGGAGAGACAAAGGGCUGCCCCUCGCGCGCCGCGGCUAUGACCGGAGCCUUACCAAGGGCACCAGAGUGCUCUCAGCAACGAGAGGCGCGCGCGGGCGCCCGCCAAGAAGUCGAGCACCCCCACCACGAGGGAGGAGCGCGACAACGGGCGCGAGACGUCCAGCGACGCAUCUGCGCGGAUGAAGAGCGUCCGCAGCUUUUCGCCCGCGCCAGCCAAAACGUCGCAGCCGCGGCGGUGUUGCUCCGACAGCUCCCCGAACCAGCGAUGCCCGAGGAGCGACGGGCACGCCAAGAGAUGCGCGACCUGCUCGAAUGCGCCGCCGUCCAGCAGGCGGAAAGCUCCGCGUCCCGGCGACGCGGGCAGAAUGCCAGCAGGGCGACGCCCGACGCGCCCCCGGAAAGGCGGGGGGAAUCAGUCCAUCUACCCCCUCCUGGGGCGAAUCAGGCCGCGUCCGCCCGACGGACUCCACCACCCGCGGGAGGCGAGGCUCGAUCCGUCCACCAGCGCGUCGGCCUCGUCCGCGACGCCCGCGACACCCUAAACGCGCGGAGACGCUCCCGCGCGGACAGGGAGGACGGGGUAGAUCGAGGCUACCACGUCCACCGUGGCGGGCGCUACGACAGCGGGGAAGACCGCAGCCUGAGCCCCGGUCCGGCUGGGCCCCGGGCCUUCUGUGCGCGCAUCCUGAACGCGCCUUUUCCGCCGCGCUUCAGGCAACCCAUGAGUAUAGCCAAAUACUCAGGGGAGACGAAUCCUGGAGUGUGGCUCAGCGAUUACCGGCUUGCAUGUCAAGCCGGCGGGGCGGAUGAUGACCUGUUUAUCAUCCGCAACCUACCCCUCUUCCUAGCCGACUCAACGCGAGCUUGGCUAGAACAUAUCCCUUCGGGACGAGUUCGCAACUGGAAUGACCUGAAGGAGGUUUUCAUAGGGAACUUCCAGGGCACGUACACACGCCCCGACAAUUCCUGGGACCUCCGGAGCUGUCGUCAGGGGGCGGACGAGUCCCUCCGAGAUUAUAGCCGGCGCUUCUCCAGGAAGCGCACCGAGCUCUCCAACGUCGCGGACGCCGAUGUCAUAGGAGCUUUCCUAGCAGGAACCUCCUGCCGGCCCCUCGUCCACGAGCUGGGGUGCCGAGGCCCGCGAACCACGGAGGAGCUCCUCAAUAUCGCCACUAGUUACGCCUCGGGCGAAGAGGCCGUUGGAGCAAUCUUCGACCGCUCCAAAGGCAAGGCGAAACGGGAGGAGGUUGCUGGCGAAGGCACCUCCAACCGCCAGCAGAAGAAGAAGGGCAAGUUACGGCGCGAGGCCCCCCUCGUGGCCGCAGCUGAGCGCAAGCGAGGGCCGCCGCCCCCCGAGGGCGCUCCCGGCUUCUUCGACAAGUUGCUUGAGGGACCGUGCCCGAACCACGAGUUCCCCGUGAAGCACGCCUACAAAGACUGCAACCUCAUGAAGAGAUACUUCAUGGGCAAUUCGGUGAAAGGCGACCGGAAGCGGAAGCCCGAUGAGGAAAAGAAGGGCGACGAAGAGAAGGAAGACGGCUUCCCCAAGGUGGACGGCUGCUUCAUGAUCUUCGGGGGCUCUGCGGCAUACGACACCAAGCGCCAGUAGAAGCUGGAGCGCCGGGAGGUCUACGCGGCCGAGCCAGCGACUCCGGCCUUCCUGGACUGGUCAGGGCCGGCCAUCACCUUCGACAGGACCGACCACCCUGGACGCGUCCGGCACCCGGGGCGUUACCCUCUCGUCGUCGACCCCAUCGUCGGCACGACGCGCCUCACCAAGGUGCUCAUGGACGGAGGCAGCAGCCUCAACAUCCUCUACGCCGAGACCCUCGACGCUAUGGGGAUCGACCGUUCCCGCCUCCAUCCCAGCAAGGCGCAUUUCCAUGGCGUCGUGCCAGGGAAGCAGGCGAUGCCUCUCGGGCAAAUCGACCUGCGCGUUACGUUCGGGACCCCUUCCAACUACAGGAAGGAGGUCCUCACAUUCGAGGUGGUGGGGUUCCGCGGAACCUACCACGCCAUCUUGGGACGGCCUUGCUACGCAAAGUUCAUGGCUAUCCCCAACUACACCUACCUCAAGCUCAAGCUGCCGGGGCCCAACGGGGUCAUCACCGUCGGCACGACCUUUCAGAAGGCGUACGAGUGCGACGUAGAGUGCUGCGAGUACGCCGCGGCCAUCACCGUCACGAGCGAUUCGGCAGUCCAGCUUGCGGAGGCCACCGAGGACCGGCCCGACUCCAGGCAGCCGAACAUCUCCUUCGAGCCCGCUGAAGGUAUCAAGGAGGUCCCCCUUGAUCCCGGUUGUUCCAACGGAGGAGUCGUGCGGAUCAGCGCGGCCCUAUCCCCCAAAUAGGAAAGCGCGCUCGUUGACUUCCUCCGCGCGAACAGCGACGUCUUCGCGUGGAAGCCAUCGGACAUGCCAGGCAUUCCGAGGGAAGUCGCCGAGCACUCCUUGAACAUCAGGGCCGGUUCCAAGCCAGUAAAGCAAGGAUUGCGCCGUUUCGACGAGGAAAGGCGCAAGGCCAUCGGCGAAGAGCUCCAGAAGCUUCUGGCGGCCGGGUUCAUCAAGGAAGUGCACCACCCCGAGUGGCUAGCUAAUCCUGUCCUUGUACCAAAAAAGAAUGGGAAAUGGAGGAUGUGUGUCGAUUAUAACGGUCUCAACAAAGCGUGUCCAAAGGACCCGUUUCCUUUGCCACGCAUAGAUCAAAUAGUCGACUCAACUGCCGGGUGCGAGACCCUCAGCUUCCUCGACGCAUAUUCCGGCUACCAUCAGAUCGCGAUGAAAGAGGCCGACCAGCUCGCUACCUCCUUCAUCACCCCCUUCGGUCCCUACUGCUACGUUAAGAUGCCAUUCGGCCUCAAAAACGUGGGGGCUACCUUCCAGCGAUGCAUGCUGUAGUGCUUCGGAGACCUCAUUGGGCGGACCGUUGAGGCCUACGUUGACGACAUCGUCGUAAAAUCCCGGAGGGGCGACCAGCUCGUUCCCGUCCUUGAACUAGCCUUCGAGAGGCUGAGGGAUAAGCGUAUUAAGCUCAAUCCCAAGAAAUGUGUGUUCGGAGUCCCAAGGGGCAUGCUGUUAGGCUUCAUCGUCUCCGUGCGCGUCAUCGAAGCAAACCCGGAGAAGAUAGCGGCCAUUAGAGACAUGGGGCCGAUCCGGAACAUAAAGGGAGUUCAGCGCAUCAUGGGAUGCUUGGCAGCUCUAAGCCGCUUCAUCUCGCGCCUCGGCGAGCGAGGGCUUCCUUUCUAUCGGCUCCUGAAGAAGACUGACCGUUUCGAAUGGACCAGCGAGGCCCAGGAGGCACUUGACCGACUCAAGGACCUCCUGACGAAGGCCCCGAUCCUAGUCCCGCCUACCGACGGCGAGUCCCUCCUGCUCUACGUCGCGGCGACCACCCAGGUGGUUAGCGCGGCCUUGGUGGUGGAACGAGAAGAGGAAGGACACGCUCUCAAGGUGCAACGCCCGGUGUAUUUCAUCAGCGAAGUCUUGUCCGAGUCCAAGACACGUUACCCGCAGAUCCAGAAGCUCGUCUACGCCAUCCUUAUCACAAAGAGGAAGCUGCGCCACUACUUCACCUCCCACCCGGUAACAGUCAUUUCGUCAUUCCCGUUAGGCGAAGUAAUCCGGAACCCAAAUGCUACAGGGAGAAUCGCGAAGUGGGCGCUUGAGCUCAUGGACCAGGGUAUCACCUACGUCCCCCGCACCGCCAUCAAGUCCUAGGCACUCGCCGACUUCGUGGCAGAGUGGACGGAGAUUCAAACGCCAUCGGCGCCAGAGAAGCAGGAGUAUUGGACAAUGUACUUCGACGGGUCACUGAUGAGGGCCCGCGCCGGAGCGGGUCUCGUUUUCGUCUCUCCCUUGGGCAUGCGCAUCAGGUACAUGAUCCACCUUCAUUUUCCUGCAUCUAAUAAUGUCGCCGAGUACGAAGCCCUCCUCAACGGACUCCGCAUCGCCAUCGAGCUGGGCAUCCGUCGGCUGGACAUCCGGGGCGAUUCCCAGUUGGUCGUCGAACAAGUCAUGAAGGAGUGGAGCUGCCACGACCCCAAAAUGGCAGCCUACUGCAACGAGGUCCGUAAGCUCGAAGACAAAUUCGACGAGCUAGAGCUCAACCACGUCGCAAGGCGCUUCAACGAAGCCGCCGACGAGCUGGCGAAGGCGGCAUCCGAAUGAAUGCUCGUCCCCGACGGCGUCUUCGUUAGCGACCAGUUGAAGCCCUCAAUCCGUUACCCAGAACUGCAGGGGUCGGCGAAGCACCCCCGGCCCUGGGAUCGGGACCCGAGUCAGGGGAGGUCGGCAGCGCGCCACCUGUCCGAGACCCGAGCACCAGCCCCGAGGGGGUCGACAACGCUUUGCCCAACUCGGCCCCGGGAGCCGAUCCGUCCGACCCCGGGGUCAUGGAAAUCACGGCAGAUUCCGCGGCGGGUGCCGACCCCCCGAUCGAUUGGAGAGCCCCAUACAUCGACUACCUCGUCCGCGACACGCUCCCGGCAGACAAAACGGAGGCCCGUAGGAUCGCGCGCCGCGCCAAAUCCUUCGCCAUCAUCGACCAGGAGCUCUACAAGAAAAGCCACACUGGAAUCCUCCAGCGCUGCAUCUCGAUCGAACAGGGAAAGGCGCUGAUCAAGGAUAUCCACGCCGGAGCCUGUGGUCACCACGCCGCGCCAAGGACCCUCGUUGGUAACGCCUUCCGACAAGGUUUUUACUGGCCGACCGCGGUCGCGGACGCUACCCAGGUAGUCCGCACCUGUGAAGGAUGCCAGUUCUUUGCCCGCCAGACUCACCUGCCCGCGCAGGCGUUGCAGACCAUCCCCAUCACGUGGCCAUUUGCGGUUUGGGGGCUAGAUCUCGUCGGACCCUUCAAGAAGGCACCCGGGGGCUUCACCCAUCUGCUCGUCGCCAUCGACAAGUUCUCCAAAUGGAUCGAGGCAAGACCGGUGGCGCAAAUCAGGUCCGAGCAGGUGGUCCAGUUCUUCACCGACAUCAUCCACCGCUUCGGGAUCCCGAAUUCCAUCAUCACCGACAACGGCACACAGUUCACUGGGAAGAGAUUCCUCCAGUUCUGCGACGACCACCACAUCCGAGUGGAUUGGGCGGCCGUGGCACACCCCCGCACGAACGGGAAAGUCGAGCGAGCCAAUGGCAUGAUACUCCAGGGUCUCAAGCCAUGGAUCUUCGACCGCCUUAAAAAAUUCGACGGACGGUGGGUUGCGGAGCUUCCCGCAGUCCUUUGGAGCCUGAGGACGACCCCCAGCCGGGCGACGGGCUUCACCCCGUUCUUCAUGAUCUACGGGUCAGAGGCCAUUUUGCCCACCGAUCUAGAGUACAGAUCGCCAAGGGUCAAGGCAUACGACGAACAGGGAAACCAGGCAUCAUUCGAGGACGCGCAAGAUCAACUCGAUGAAGCGCGAGACGUAGCUCUACUGCACUCGGCUAAGUACCAGCAGGCCCUACGGCGUUACCACAGCCGCAAGGUGCAAGGCUGAGCCUUCAACGUCGACGACUUGGUGCUCCGCCUCGUCCAAGACAACAGGGGUCGGCACAAGUUGACUCCCCCAUGGGAAGGCCCGUUCAUCGUCGUACAAGUUCUACGGCUGGGCACCUACAAGCUGGCAACUCCCGACGGGCAGGUUUUCAGCAACGCCUGGAACAUAGAACAGCUAAGGUGCUUUUACCCAUAGCUUUUAUUUCCAAGCCCUGCAUAAAACUUGUCUUCAAUUCCGAUAUUUCCUUUAAGCUCAGGGGUAUCCGACCCUGGCCUCGUUCCAGGGCCGCAUACCCCUCGGGGGCUACCAGUUUUGCUCCUCUGCGAAAAAAAAGAAACCCCGAGCCGUCUCGGUUCAGGCCUUUUCCUUUAAGCUCAGGGGUAUCCGACCCUAGCCUCGCUCCAGGAUCGCAUACCCCUCGGGGGCUAUCAGAGGUUCCGACCCCAGCCGCUCGGCCCUAUCUAAAAGAAACAUUUUUUCUUUUCAAACCGAACACUCCCUUUCUAGACCUUUGGGCGCAAAAAAGAGAAGGAUGCGCGAACGGUGCUCAGGCAAGUUUGAUCGGACUGCGAAAAAACCUACGCCCCAGCGGCUACGGCACCUUCGCUCAUCAAAACUUAAUGACGCACCCGACAACGCAUUCUAAACUUUCAAGCCCAAAGGAACAGCAAAGGGGAUCGGGAUCUUUCGCACAACGAAGUCAUAAACAAGCCUGUAUGGCCAUCACAAAAUAAGUUCGAAACUAACAUAAUUACAUUUUGGGCACAAGCCCGGUACAGUUAACUUGACGAGGGGUCGGCAGGAGGGAUGACCUCAUCUUCCAGGAGCUUCGCGAGGGCCUCCGCCGGCGCGGACACCGCUGCAUCAAUCCCGUCCAGCUCAGCUUCGGUGUAAUCAGCGGCGUACCCUUCACUCAUCCCGGCAAAGUUGAUGCCAGAAUAAUGGGAGCCGAAGACCCCGAAGGCUCGCCGCAUGCCGACGUGAAGCGCGUCCAUGGCGAUCUCGCGACGUCGACGGCGUACCCCAAGGACACGAGCCGGCAGAGAGCUCGACCCCUCCUCCGGAACUACGCCAAAGUCGUCACAGACGACGCGGACCGCAUCCCGCAAGGCGCCGUGCUCGCCGUGCUCCGCGUCGAGCAAACCCUUCAGCUUGGCGAUUUCGCCUGCAGGAACCACCCAGAAAAGCCCACCAAGUCAAGAACAGAACACAAAAUGUCACGGGAACGCGGGAACGGAAAAAAAAAGCCUCACCGUCGGCCCAGGCCUUCAACUCGCGCUCCCGGUCGGCUCCUUGAGACACGGCGGACUGGAGUCCCUGCACUUGCGAGCGAAGGCGACCAGUCUCCGCGCUAAGGGCUUCACGCUCCCCCCUCAGCUGUGCAAGCUCCCCGGCAUCACGACGGGCCCUCUCAGCGGCAGCUUGAAGCUCCUCGGCGUCGCGGCGGACCCUCUCAGCGACAGCUUGGAACUCCUCGUGGUCGAGGCGGGCUUUCUCGAUGACGGCUUGGAGCUUGGCCUCCGAUCACCGCGCCUCCUCCAACGCCGCCCCCUCACGCCUUUGCAGGUCCCGAAUGACCCCCUGGGCGGCAGUGACUUGCAGGGACAGGUCCCUGGUGCGCUCCCUCUCCGCGUUGAAGCGCUCCCAGAGACCCUGCUGCAGCCGAAGGAAAUCAGAUUUCCCCCGACUGCCCUCUUGGAGGGCCUGCAAAGCAACGUGCCAUUAGAAAAAAAAAAGCAAAAGGGAGGUGCUGAUCACCAACAGUAGGAGCAACAUACCUGGCUGCCAGGGAGGACGGUGUUACCCAGAACCCCCAACGCCGAAGACAGAGCCGCCUCAACGUGGGCAAGGCCGCCCUGCAUCGCCUGCCACUUGUGCCACUCAGUGGCGUCGUCCAGCGUGAAGAGAUGCCUCGGCGGGUCAUCGCGGGAUGACCAGCGAAGGACAGACCCCCUCCACGCCCUGGGAACGGAGGGAGCCGAGGCCGAGGCAGGGGCCGAUCCUGACGCUGCCGUCAAGGUCGGCACCAUUGCACUAGAAGCCGCCGAGUUUACUGACGGCCCCGGCACCUGCACGCUCGUCGCCGCCGAGGCCGCCGGCGGUAUCCCAGUGGGCCCCUCCGCCUCCGCCGCCGGAGCCACUCCCGCGGGGGUAAUUGGGGCGGAGGCCCCCGCCUCCGUCACCGUUGCCUCCGCCGCCGCGCUUUCGGGGGCAGGCGUUCCCUCCGCCACCGAUCCCGCCGCGGCUGCGGGGGCAUCCGCCCUACCUCCCGUCGCCGCCGUCUCCUCUGCCUCGUCGGCGUCGAAGUCGAUCACCUUCCCGGCCUGAGAACCCGGGGGGAUCGUGCCCUGCGCUGUAGGGGCGACUGGGGGGACCGAAGGCGGAGUAGGGUCCGCUCCCCCUCCCACGGCUGACACCGCCGUCGCUCCGCCGGCCGCCACCACAGGGGCCGCCUCCGCGGAGGGGUCCGCGGCCUCACCAGGGACCCCGCCGCUCGCCGCGGGCGGGACCGCGGUCCGCCCCCCAGAGGAGGUUGACAACCGCAACGCCUUCUUAGGCACCAGCUGCAGGGCAAGGCCACGAGGGGCGGCGCUGCAUAUCGACAAACAGACGUCAGCACAAACGAGCGUGAGAAGAGGAGAGGAACGAGGCGCAAGGAAGGCCAACUUACGUCCUUGAAGCACAAGGGCGGCGCGCGCGCUUCGACUCAGAGCCCGACGCCGACCCCGGGGCAUCUGGCAGCGGCCGCUUGUCGCCACUUCGCUGCUCUCCAGUCGCGGGCACGGCGGUGGAGGCAGUCUCUGCAGAUCUCCGAGGAGCACCCUGAGCGGACUCCUGGGGAGCGCCCCGCGCCGGCUCUGAAGUGGCGGCGGGGGCAGGCUCCGAGGACCCCCGAGGGGCGCUCCGCGCCAGCUUUGGGAAGGAGCCCCGUGUCGACCCCUGGGGGGCACCCUUCACCGACCCCUGGGGAGCGUCCCGCGCCCGCUCCUGGGAGGCACCCCGCGCCGGCCCCUGGGGGGCGUUCCGCGUCGACUCCUGGGGGGCGUCUCGUGCCGGCUCCGAAGCGGCGGCGGGGGCAGGCUCCGAAGACCCCCGAGGGGCGCUCCGUAUCGACCCCUGGGGGGCACCCCUUGCCGACCCCUGGGGAGCGUCCCGCGCUCGCUCUUGGGACACGCCCCGCGUCGGCCCCUGGGGGGCGUCCCGCGUCGUCUCCUGGGGACACGCUGUACUGGCCCCUGGGGCGCAGCCCCAGGGCCUGGUGGAGCCGAAGCCCGGGCGGGCGCCUCCUCCACUUCACCUCCCGCGGCCGUCCGCGGGGGUGCCUCACGAAUGGCGAGGGCGCCCGAUCGGAAGGAGGAAAUCAGCUCCUCCUCAUCAUCAUCUUCCUCAUCUUCAUCCUCUUCAUCAUCGUCGUCAUCAUCGUCGUCGUCGUCAUCGAACACGACCGACCCCCUCCGCCGCCGUUGGAACUCCUUAGCGGCCUUCUUCCUCUUCUUCGCCAUCUCGAUGUCCUUCCGGCGCUUCUGCGCCUCGGCGAGGAGACGGUUGUGCGUCCGCCGCUCAACAUCUUCCGGCACCGGCGGGAGCGAGUGCGCGACCCGGGUUAGCGGACCCUACAAACGCAAAGCAGCUCCACGUCAGAGUGACAAUCGCAAGACACGAAGAAAGGAGGAGGACGCCCCAACUCCUUACCAGAUCUAUGAGCCCGCAUCCGGGCGCAUCGGCGGGUGCCCGGGAAUCGGGUACUCGACGUCCUUGUCCUCCAGCGCCUCCCGAAUCCGUUGCCGGAUCUCGGAAGCGACGAGCGCACCCGUCGCCAAGGCGGUGCCCUCGGUCGGCGCGUCGGGGGUCAUGGCGGCAAGCGGUCGGAUUCAGAGCAUCAGUGGCGCCACCCGUCGGGUGUGGUACGCUCCGAUGACCCCGGCGCCGGUGAGCCCGUCCCGCUUCAGCCGCUCGAUGGCCUGCAGCAGGUCGAAGAACCGCUUCUUGUCCUUCUCCACUGGCCCGUACGCCCACACCUCCGGCGCCGCGUCGAUGGUACGGCCGGUGAAAGCCGGCAGGGGGGAGUUCGGGUAGUUCUUCACAUAGAACCACUGGUUGUGCCACCCCUUGUGGGACGCCGAGGUCUUCAUCGUCAUGUUCUCCUUGGAGCGGGUAUGACGAAGGUGGAUCCCGGCGCACCCGAUCGGCACCGGAGGUGACCGCUGCUGGCUCCCUCGCUUCUCCGUCUUCUGGUACAGGCUCACUGUGAAAAAGUAUUUCCACAGCGAGAAGUGGGGCUCAAUGCCUAGGAAUCCCUCGCACAGGGCGACGAACGCCGCAAUGUGCUGGAUCCCAUUGGGUUUGAGGUGCUGGAGCUCGAGCCCAUAGUAGUGGAGGAGCCCCCGAAAGAAGCGGCUCGAGGGAGAGGCGAACCCCCGCUCAUGGAAGUGAGCGAAGGAGACGAUGUAGCCAGAGAGAGGCUCCGGCACCUGCUCCGGGCCCGACAGCAACCACUCAGCCGCCUCCGUCUUCUCGCAGAGGAGGCCUUUUCGCACCAGGCCCUCGGCGCGCGAGGAGGUGAAAUGGGAGAUCCCCCAGGAACCCAUCGCCGGAGGAGGGAGAUCAACGGAGGUGAGAAGAAAGGGCACGGCUUGGAGCAAAGGAAACGAAGCGGGCACGGACAAACUGAACGCUAGGCUGGAGGGCGGAAAGGCUCGAAUGCAGAAGGCGGGCGGAACCGGCGCGGCGGGCUCCCGUUUUUAUAGGAAAGGUACGGGAGAAGCCAAAUCGACGCCCCGGCCGCCAUAAAUGCGGCGCCAGGUACGCCCCUGCCACGCCCGUUUCCUUUUCGAAAACCGCGCGCACGGCCGGCCGCGAAAACAUCCUAUCCUCCUCGAUUCGCGGGAUGGCGCUUCCCAUAACUCCACCUCCCGGAAGGCACGACGUCCCCCACGUUCGGCCCAGACGUCACGACCGCUCCGUUCUGGCCCAAGGCCCACCGAAAGGUAAGAAAGGGAUACGGGGCUGAAAACGCCCCUACGGCCCAUUACGGUCCAGAGGUUCGAAGGCUGGCCCACCGCGGGAUCGACAGCUGCCUCAGGAUAUCUCCCGAGCAAGGGGUGAGAAGGGACGGGUCCACUAGCGGCCAACACCCAGGCAAGCGAAAGCCAAGGGCGUCCCGACCUCACGUUCGAGUCCCGUCCGGUAUAAAGUUCAUGGUUUUUCCACGGGGAAAGGCAACGAGCCCCCGGAUUCGGCCGAACGGACCCGGGAACUAUAUGAACUGGCCGGCGGGAAAUUGUAGUACGCCACCAGCUUGGCCCGAGCCGGACCCCCCCGAACGGGGACCGGGACUCCACUCGAACCUACCUGUUCGCAGCUCAAAGCGAGCACCACGGUUCGUCCAACUAGGAUAACGUGGCACGGCUCAACCCCUCCGUCCUAGCGAACGGACGCUUGAGGGGCAACGACCAAAAGUCGACCUGGCCUCCCGACCGGUCUCCCGCAACGAGCAGGGGCUCGGGGGCUAGCAUCGCAACCAACGACCAUGCGUAUGGUCACGAUUCCCAGGCUCCCCGGCCAAACCGGGAUGAAGCAAGCGCACCAUAAACAAAAUCCACGGAGAAACGGCGAAAGAAGCCUCCGGAGGAGCACUUUUUGCUCCACCACAGGCUCGGGGGCUACUGUUGGGGGGAAAUAUUAACGAUCCCCUAAAUACCGCUUAAAGGAGCAGACGCGAAGGCCCGGGCCCACCUAAGCAUAAUCAAAACUCCGCCUCGCCCGACCGCGGCCUCAGGGUCAGGAACGCCCGACUCCCCUCCACGAGGUUUCCGCCUCGUCCGACUACGGCCCCAGGGUCGGAGGCGCCCGACCCCUCGCCACAAGGUUCCGCCUCGUCCGACCCCAAGCGCAAGGGUCGGGCUCGCUGGGGCCCCCAGGGCAGGCAUCCCCCUCGGAUGCGGACCAGGUGGGCAAGGUAAACAAAUGCUGCGGGUCCCUCCCCCGUCGGGCUCAUCAUAAAUGCGCCGCAGGCCUGGCAGAGGGAGGAAUGACCGUGCUCCUCACACAACCCGCCGCAAGUACCCAUGCACGACCAUACUCUACAAGCUACAGCGCUGGCGGCUCACUCCCAUUCGCCGCAGGGUACUCAUGGCCUGCGCCGACCGGAGCGGAGGAGAGACUCGCCUGUCCUCGGGCCCCGCGCACCCUCGGGUCCCGUGCGCCUGGCAGCUAGGAUGUGACGCCCUCUCUCCAGGAGCCAUCAUCAGAACGGCAGCAUCCACCGUCCUCCCCAACGGACACCGGGAUAACGACGAAACGCCCUCAUCAUAACCCGACGCCGACGGAUGCCGAAGGAGCUAUCUGUAGGGUGCGACGACAGUUGGCGCACGGCCGCCUCCCCCUCCGGCAUGCACGCCGGCGCUCGCCAGGAGCCGGCGGAGGCGUCGGGCGUCUAGGAACUUGUUCCUCCCAUCCUGCCGUAUUUUUUACCGUACUACGUUCACAUUUUACGGUCCUCUUCGCCCGAUCCCAACUGUAACUCUGGCCACUCCCCUUGCGAUAUAAAAGGAGGAAGACAGGGCCGGAGGGGGGAUCGGCUUCUUCCCCCUCAAGCCACAGCACGCUAGUACGCUCCCUGAGAACAUAGGCACAAAGAGACUUGGGACCAGUCCCUCUCUCGUCGGUCUGUAACCCCUACUACAGAACUCCGCGUGGGUAAUACGAGCAUUCACGAUACUGGACGUAGGGCUCCCUUUGCCCGAACCAGUCUAAUUCGUGUCUCCCACGCCACCAUCUGAGGCCUUACGCGCAUAAAAGAAAUUUACUAGUCUAAGUCUUGAUCCGCCAAUCUUGACAACGACAAAUCUAAAAAUCCAUAACUAAUUAAUUUUAAAUCAUAAAAGUUUGAAACUAUUACCCAUCAUCUUUUUCUAGAAUGUUACCUUUUAUGUUGGUUUUUUUGAGUUAUUUGCAUAUUAUUGUCCCCAUCUCUAGUGUUUUAUUGCUUGUAGUCAAACCUACUAUUUAUUUAUUGUUGUUUUGCAUUGUAUGAUUAUUGGAUGCUAUGCGAUACAAAGAUAAUUGUUCAACAACCAUAUGCAUCAUGAAGAAAUUUCCGGAUACGAUUGAUAUUAGUACAUUAUUAACUUCUUAUCAAGAAAUAUCAAUGAAGUGUUUUAUAUGAAUAUUUUUAAUGCACCUUGAGUUUUUGGAUAACCUUUUUCAUAAAAGUUAAUUAGAUGCAUUCUUAACUAAAUAAGCCAUUUGGUAAUUUUUCAAAAAUGUUUAUUUAGGUAACAGAAAAUUUAUUUAUUUAUUCUGGAAAAAGUUUUUUUUUAACGAAGUUAGCAAGGAAAGCACCUACCUAUUCUUUAAUUGUUAUUUUAGAUCCGUUUAAUUCGCUCCCACGAGAAGUUGAAUAUAGACCUGCAGGAUGUUACUCAGGUGCUCUAACCACUAGACUAGAGUCCCUUUCGCUUCUGAAAAAGGUUUUACAAAAAUCUUUUCCCUAUUAUCUUUUGUUAAGUCUGGGAUGUUGCCGCACGUGGGAAAGAAAGAACGGGAAACAUAGACCGAGACCGCUGCUGCGCCGCCACCAUGCUUCGCCGUUGGAGGGUUAGGGUUCGGGGUUUCGGGUUAUGGGUCAUCGAUGGCGCGGCUAUCUCCGAUGUGGCUGGGAUAUAUGGGAGGUUGACGGUGGCUAGGUAGCAGGCGGUGGUGGCGGGUUGUGUGCGGGAUGGCGGGACACCACCAGUUCCGAUUUGUGGAAGACAAUAGGUGGCCUCUAGAGGCAGCGGGGGAAUCUUGGUGAGCUUCCCGCGCGGGGCUGGGUUAGGGCGGCGAAGGAUGGUGGCGGUGGAUGUGGCAGCGCGAGCCGCCGGAGAUGAUGGAGGAUGGCGGCGCGGGCGCGAGCAAAGGAGGACAGUGCGAUGGUGAUCGAGGGUUGCGACCGGCGACGCCGGAUGCAGUGGCGAGAGCCGUCGGAGCUAGAGGAGGAGGGCAGCGCGGGGGCAUGGGCGUGCGCGCUCCUGGGCUGCCAUCACUGAAGGUGACAUUGGUGAUUUUUGUCACCUUCUGUGAUAUAUAGAUAUAGACAUGCUCUAGAUAGAGGACUCCUUGGAGAGACCCCGAGAAUGGAGAUGGGCAUUUGGAGCUCUUCCAAAAUAAGGAAUCUAGAGGACUUGCUAGAAUGCAUUUUUUUUGACUUGGUCCAUUGGAGUUGUUCUAAGCCAACAACUAUUAGCAUCCUUUUAGAUAACUCUGUUAAUCUGAAAUACAACAGUUUCCUACUUUAUGUAUAAUGAGUGUCAUUGCGUCACUACGUACGAGGUCUACUUUAUGGCGGAUCUGAAGGUGUGUUUGGUUGGGAUGUGGCUUUUGGAAAAGCUACUGUGAGCUGUGGGCUGUGAAAAAGUAGCGGGGAGAAAGCAGCUGUGGGAAAAGCAGAAGACCGUUUGGUUAGAGCAGCUACGAAACUGUAGGUUGUGUAAGAAAUACCUGUAAUGCCCCUAAAGGUCUGCGGGUGUGUUUACAUGCAAAUUGCUCAUAACAAAAUAAUGUGUUCACUAAUUCACAUGUAAAUGACUAUUUUAGAAAGGAAAAAAAAUAAAUUUUAUAUGUUCUUCAUCCAUAUAAGUGAUUGGUCCACAUAAAUAGAACAAUAUCCAUCAAAAGGUUUAUACAAUGAUGUCAUCUCUCAACAUUACUGUCCUCCUCUCGCACUAACCAAAGCAUCAACUAUCCUAGCAUGAAUGAUAUUCAUGGUAUCCUCAUUCUCCAUAUCGUCACUCUCAUCUCCUUGUGUUUGUCUCGUGCCACUUGUAUAUUGUACCAAGUACUCCUACAAAACCGAGUUAGUAAGGUACAUAAUAAUACACGUAUUUCUAACUUGAUGAAGGAAUCAUGUAUACCUUUAGGAGGCACGAGAAAUAUGUCUCAAAGCAUUGUCGAGAAAAUUGAAAGAAAAGAUGAUGAACAAAGGAGGGUCAAUUCUUGUUGCUCUUUGGACUAGAGGAUUGACGAUGAUCAUUGCAGUCCUAACAAUUCUCUUGUUGCAGAACAGAGUAGCAACUUCUGAGUAGCAUAUGAUUCUUACAUCUUCCAGGCGAGGUGGCUAGUGUGCUGGAUGAAGUUGAGGUCCCUUGGCAACCUGGCAAACGCCUCCGUCAUGUCUGCAGGCAAAAUUUCCAAAAAAAACAAGAAGAUUUCAACACCACCAACAAAGCAAGCAUGUAAUCACCUGAUUAAUCAAUCAGCAAACAAUUCACAACUAGCAAUCUGUAGAAAUUAGCACGCCAUUACCGUCCUGGGUGAUGAGCGGGUAGUCGGAUGCGUUGAGGUUGACGAACCAGUCCCAGCGGCGGUGAAGGCGGAGCAGCAACGCGACGGCGUGCAGCGUGGUGGUGAGCAUGGUGGGGCCCCGGUAGGUGACGAGGUUGGGCCUGCCGACGAUCCACACGUUGCCCGCGAUCGCGUACACACCCCACCUGGACAUGAGCUCUGCCAGCCGGCAGUGCUCCUCCCCUGGACCGCAGGUAGUUGUUGGCCGGGUGGUACAGUGCCGCCAGCAGCCGCAUCGUGCGGCCCACUUCCCCUGAGGAUGCCGAGAUAAGGUAUGCGAACGAGAUCGGGUACCGCGGCGCCUCGCCGGCGGCACCGUCGAAGGCGGCCAACGAUGAGAGUGUUGACGUCGGUUUUUGACACGUGUCAGGGUCGACGUCAAGAGGAGAAGAAAGUGGCUGAUGCGGUUAAACAAGAAGCUAUGGCUAGAGAAAUCAGUCAGUAAAGCUAUAGUGUUUCAGCCGAUUAGCUAAUGAGAUAGAUGAAGACUGGCCGAUUGGAAGCUAGAAAAGCUCGGCCGAUAUGGGCCUAAAUGGGCCAAGGUGGUAACAAGAUGAAGAUAGGAUUGGCCCAUAGAGGAUUGGAUGGUGUUCGACUCCGAUACAAGUUGUAUCCGUAUGUAAAUAUUUGUUGCUUUGAAUAAGAAAUAGAAUAUUGAGUCAUAGUCGGUUAGGAAACGAGUUGUAACAGGGUAUAAAUAGGUGCCCCGUGAGGCUGGCAAAAACAUCAACAAACAUCAAUACAAAUCUACUUUUUCAUGCAACUUUACUUUCAUGUCGGCGACUUUGCCAAACCCUUUUCUUUUCACGAGUUCGUGUGAGUUGGCAGGGCUGCAUCAACGUGAUCUCCGAGCAAUUUGUAAGUUCCGCGUUUCGAGUAAUAUAUAAGCUUUAACUUUGGGCGUAUCGCUGUUGUUUUGUUUAGAUUUAUUCACUAGUUAUCGAUAUUUGCUAGAAUUAUAGGUUUUAUUCUCCGGUGGAAAGAUUGUGCCUUUGCCUGUAUUUCUCUUGCACUAAACUCAGGCGAUACCUAUUAUCGGCGGAAUGUGUGGUCGCGUGUAAAGUUGAUGUUGUCAAGUAUAUGUUAUCACUGCCGAUCUUGAAGGGAAGGAUUGGAAAAUGUAUUCUGGCACUCUCAGAAUUCGAUCUCAGGUACGAAUCGGCCAAGGCCGUCAAGGGUCAGGUAAGGCUGAUUUCGUCACCCAACACUGUGGAUCAGAAAUUACUGUCGUUGAGCCGGCUCCAUGGACUCUGUACUUCGAUGGAUAUUCGUGUGGGAUUGGAUCAGGAAUCGACAUAAUUCUUAUAUCGCCUCGGGGGGCAAGUUAUGAGUUCUCUCUGCCGAUUGAGGCUUCCGCUACUAAUAAUCAAGCAGAAAAUCGGGCUGUCUUAAAGGGCAUCCAAUUAUUGAGGGAGGUCAAGGCUGACGUGGUAGAAAUAUUUGGGGAUUCCAUGAUUAUCGUGGAUCAGUUGAUUGCAAAGUGUGAGUGCAAGGAUGAUAUUCUAAGGAUUUAUUAUGAGGAAUGCCUCCGGUUGCUCAAAGAAUUCAAGACCGUAACUAUUGAACAUAUCCCUAGGGAUUACAAUGAGGAAGCCAAUAGACUUGCCCAGCACGCUUCUGGCUACUGGCCGAUUCAUGGCGCUUUCGCUCUAGAGCUGGCGGCCGACAACUGGAGGAAGGAGAUCGCCGAUUAUUUAAAGGAUCCAUCCAAGAAAGUUGAUCGGCAGAUACGCUUCCAAGCCACAAAGUAUGUGUUACUUGAAGAUGAAUUGUUUUAUCGGACGAUUGAUGGAGUGUUUCUCAAGUGCCUUAGCAUUGAGGAAGCAAAGAUUUUGAUGGGUGAGAUUCAUGAAGGUCUAUGUGGGACCCAUCAAUCGGCUUUCAAGAUGAAGUCGAUGAUUAGAAACAAUGGGUAUUACUAGCUGACAGUACUUGAAGAUUGUUUCAAAUAUUAUAAAGGCUGUCAGGAUUGUCAAAAAUUUGGCAACGUGCAACGAGCCCCGGCCUCGGCUAUGAACCCGAUAUUAAAGCUGUGGCCAUUUAGAGGCUGGGUAAUUGAUCUCAUCGGUUAGAUCUAUCUGCCGUCAAGCAAAGGGCAUAAGUUCAUAUUGGUGGCGAUUGACUACUUCACCAAGUGGGUUGAGGCGGUUCCUUUGAAUGUUGUGAUGUCGGCCAACAUGAUCGAAUUCAUGAAGGAGCACAUCAUUUAUCGAUUUGGUAUUCCUCAGACCAUCAUGAUUGAUCAGGGGUCAAUGUUUACCUCAGGGAGUUCGAGGAGUUCACUGCCAGUAUGGGAUUAAGCUGUUGAAUUCUUCUCCGUAUUACGCUCAGGCCAAUGGUGUGACGACCCCGGUUAAAUCUUUCGAGUUAAUCUUAAUACGAGCCCCAAAAUUCCUCUGUCUCAGUUUUUCCCGAGCAGGAGUGCUCCACUCCAGUUCCUGUUCCUGACCCGUGAAGACUCUAACUCACCCCGCCAGUUCCUUUUAAGUCUCAACAACAGUGUCCCUUUCAAUCUUGAACAGAGGAAAGACCGAGACUGACGGAUGGACCCGCAAUCUUUUCCCCGGAUCUCCCGAGGCAUACGCACUCGAGCGGCCUGCACCGCUUCAGAGCUCCCCCGCCGCGUGGCUCAACUUCUCCGACGCCCGCCGCUUCACCCAAUCGCCGGCCGGGACAGGAUAGAUUCUCACGCCCUCCUCCCCAAUCGCAGCGGAAGCCCCUCUGCAACCCUUUCUGCUGCGCCUCGUCUCGCUCGCGCCCUCGCCGGCCGCGCCUUGGUGCUCCGACACCGCUGUGGCAGAGCUUUGCCGCUUGCUGCAUCCAAACUACCUCGCAGCUCACGCCCGUCAUCAUCUCACUGGAUCCCCGACUGCAAGGCCCGAUGCCUUCCGACUUUUCCACCGCCUCUACACAGUCGCGCUCGCCUGCGCAGCCGCAGCCUGCCUAUCUUUUCACCGGUUGCAACCUCGCUUGUAGCGCCGUUCUCCCUGUCACACCCAUCAGAUCCGCCGCAUGACGACGCCCGCCUCCGCCAAACCUCAACUACCGGCAAAACCGCGCCUGCGCCGCCUUGUCUCCCGUGCCCAAUAGCCAAGGACCCUAUCUCCGAAAUCCUGUUCCGCCGCCCAUCGACGCCCAGUCGCCGCCAUGGCAGCGCACUCCAUCCUUUUCUUCCGGUCUUCGUGCUACUCCAACUCCCUCUCUCUUUCGCGCAGCUAUAAAAAGGAAUGCCAGAGCCCUACUGGAGAUCCCUUCACCAUCGUUGCCUCGCCGCCUUGUUCCUGAGCGCCGCCACCUAAGUUCUUGAGGAACUCUCAUCUUCGCUCAACACCCGCCCCUCCCAAUCCACCAAGCCGCCUGCUCCUCCACGCUAUGCUAGAGCUUCCUUGUUGCUCACAAGAAGCUCCGCCGCCGCCGGAGCACCGCCGGACAUAGCCGCCACCAAAGCCUUAGUGCUUAAGACCUUCCGCCCAAGUCUACUCCUUCCCGACCCCAAAGCUUCACCUAUAAACCAAAGGUAAGCUGCCGACCCCUUACCGGUUCGCCCGACCCUACCUGUUCGCCUGACCCUACCUGUUCGCCCGACCCCUCUUUCCAUCUCGCCCGACCCUGUCUGUUAGCCGGCCCUUAUCUUCUUCGCCCGAGGACUCGGCUGUACUCUUUUCCUUGACCCGAGGGUAUCUGUGUAAGAUUUCGGGGACUUCUCUGUAAUAGCUUUGAGGACCCCAAACACAUUAAGGCUUAUGGGUCAGAUCAUAAGUUCUUCCAAUUCGACCCUUGGUCUUGUUCUCUAUCCACUGAAGCUUGAACCCCCACACUCUUUCCGUAGCUUUGCUACAAGUUUCUGGGCUAAGACUUGCGAGUGUUGCUGUUGAAAUAACCGUCUAGACACUAACUCCAGCAUUGCAUUCGUGUAGAGUUUCAUCUUGCUGACGGCGUCUACGAACUACACCCGGUGCCAGAAGACGGAGCUGUAGCUGAGCUACCAGUUCCAGAAGCCGAAGUCGCACCAGCUGAAGACCCGCUUCCCUCCCCUCCACUUGAAGGCAAGUCCCGGAGCAUGAACCCCAAAGUUUCCCAAACUUGCGCAUGCCUUCUUUCUCAUGUUUGUGCAUUUACGUAUAGGAGUUGUUUGCAACCUUAGAUGCAUGGUAUAGUUCCUUGAUCGGAACACUAGUUGUUGAAUCGAGUAGUUGCUAUGCUUAAAUAGGAAGUGGUAAAAGUCGAGUGAUUUCCUGUCACUCGCGAGUUAUAGGAGUUGGUUGUUCUCCUUCUGUUACAACUAUAAGGACGAUGGAUGGGGCAAGGUUUUGGUUAACUCUUUUGCUAGUCGGCUGAUCCCCCCGUCUGUCUAUGGAAUCUGUUAAGGCCCGAUAGUGGUGGUGUUCGUGAUCAAGUGUUUGAAAGUACUAAUCUCAUACCUAGUAUGGGAUGGGGAAGCCUAGUACCUGAUUGAACUAGGGCGUGGCUUAUACCCCUGCUGUCCCUGGAACGAGGUUCCCAUGGUGCAUCAUGUGGGUGCAAGUGCGGUCACAGUACGGUAGAGGCCGGGAUUGUGGAGCAUUGCAUGCCAAGGGAAGUUGGACCUGACACGUGCCUGGGAAUUGAUGGGGACGGCUGACACAGGAAGCGACCCUUGUGGUGCGCGGAUGUCGUGAGAUUAGGUUUGCCAUGCAUGGUUAAGAAACUCGAAGGAUUCGUCUGCCUCUCACAGUUUGAGACUGCUUGAUCGCUAUGCUACACUGAUUAAUGAAAGAGUCUGAUGAUGACAUGGUCUUGAUGAGUAGCUUAUAUACAUAAAGUUGGAUCUAUGUUUGCUUAGAGUAAGAUGCCAACGUAGACUGGUUAAUGAACUUAGAAUUUGAGCUAAAACUUGAAAGCAAGGACCUAACGUAGUAGCUUUUGGCAAACAAAACCCCUCAGCCAAAGAGCCUUGCAUGUCUAGACGUGGUGGAGUAGUUUUACCACCGGUCGGUUAAGUCUUGCUGAGCGUAGCAGCUCAACCUUGUUUGUGGCUUUCUUUUCAGGUGAAGUCGCAGCUCCUGAGUUUGCUUCCGUUGGCACUUGGCCGCCCCAGCUCCCUCCGGGUUGGACGGUUGAGUGGGAUCCUUCCUCGGACGGUGAGGAGAGGGAUCAUUGAUGUCCUGAUCGGCCUCAUUAGGGACAUCCGACCCUGGCGCUAGCUUCCGCUAAUUUAGCUUUCCGCUGCUUUUGAAUCUUGUAAAACUCUGAUUUUUGUUUUUAUGUUGAACUAAAUUGUCAAACUUGUUUAACUCAGUGGAUCUGUUGUAUUCUCUGAAACCGCUCACCUUCGUGUGAGUUUCGCUAAUCCGGUCCUGUAAGUGGUUUAAUCGGAGGAAAUCCGACGGCCCUUCGAGUUAACUUGACUAAGGCAUAAGUGUCGCGUGUCAGGCGACUUAACAAUGCUUUAAUCAAGGUAAUCCGAGGUGGUUCCACCACAAAUGGUCAGGCCAAGUCAUCAAAUAAGGGGGUUAUUAAACUGAUUAAAAGGAAGGUCAAAAAACAACCAAGACGGUGGCAUACAACGCCGAAUGAGUCCUUAUGGGCUUAUCGGAUGGCUUGCCGCGGUGCCACCAAGGUGUCCCCUUAUCAGUUAGUAUAUGUGCAUGAAGCAGUAUUACCUUGGGAGUUGAAGACUGGGUCUAGACGUGUGUCACUUCAGAAUCAGUUGUCGGUUGAUGACUAUUCCGCCCUCAUGAGGGGAGAAUUGGAAGAUUUGGCGAAUCAACAGCUAAGGGCUUUGAUCAGCAUUGAGGAAAAUAAGAAAAGAGUCACCAGGUGGUAUGACAAGAAGGUCAAGGUCAAAAGGUUUUCCCAAGGGGAUUUAGUCUGGAAGUUGGUUCUGCUGAUAGUAUGGAAAAUGGUCGCCCACUUGGGAAAGGCCAUAACGGAUUAGCCAAUGUGCUCUAGGCAAUGCAUACAUACUGGAGACUUUUGAGGAAGAAGAAUUUACAAGGGCCUUGAAUGGAAGAUAUUUGAAAAGAUACUACCCUAGUAUAUGUGUAGGCGCUUAGCCGAUGAUGUGGCAUAACGGGCUUUCACGGUCGACGCGUACUGAUUCGUGUUCAUAUAGCCGAUGCAAGGGGCAUCGCCUUAAGAUUGAAAGAGGCGAAAUAGUGUAUAUAUAACUAAACCGAUCAUUAUUCGGUACACCAACUAAAUAUAUGGCCGGCAUGAUACAAGUCGCCCUUAGAUAAAAAGUACCGACACAGUUAUGGGUUACAACGAUUUAACAACGUUUCAUGUGAGCUUUAUUCAUAUCGAUUUCUUUCUGAAGUCGAUCCAAUUCGAUCUGGAGUCGGGCGUUCUUCUCCUCUAGUUCUGCCAUGUCAUCUUCAACAGCAACUUGACAGGGUAACAGAUGGCUUCUUUCGACUGAUUGCCGUGGUUGCCUUCUAGAAGCUUUAGCCUCGAUGUCAUCCACAAUCCUCUUGAUAUUCACGGGGAGGUGAUCUCUGAGUUCCUCACGAUGAGUUUGGAUCAGGUCUUUGUCAGCCUGAGUGAGCGGUUCAUCGGAGUGGAGGAUCUCAAUGGCUCGUUCAAGAUCACGGCUGAGUCGGUUUGGCUACGAGAAGAAUUGAUGAUCAAUUGACAGAGGGAUUGGUCGAGAGAUAGGAGAUUGACUUCGUACCUGAUUGACAGAGGAGGAGGAGGCCAUCUUGGUCGCUCGAUCGAAGAUUUGUAAGCGCGCGCAAGGAAUGGUUGAGUGGGUGUUUUGCGAAUGCCUUCAGAAGGGAUGCGAAGGGUUUGUACUUAUAGAACAGAAUGGCAAUGGACAAAGGUCGGUAAAAGGAGGGCAUUUAAAGAAAGCGACCGUUGAGUCAUAAAAGCUACGUGAGGACUGUUCAGACUUGCAUUUCAGACAAAAACGCCAAAAGUAUCAACGUUACACAAGAUGUUCAAAGGCUGGUUGAGUUCGUUACAACUAUCCGAGGAGAUUGUUUAUGGUCUCAAUCGCUCGCAGGCGAACUUGGUUGGCCACCUCCAACACUCGCCGAUCAUCAUCGGCUGAUCCUAAGACUUCUGGCGCAUUGCGAUGAAGAUGGAUGGCCUCGUGAGUGAGGGAUUGUCUUUCUUGUUUAAAAUCAACGAUGGCGGUUGGAAGAUCUUCAAGUUUCUUUUCUUCGGUAGCGAUAGCCUUUACGACCAGUUCCAUCUCCUUGGUGAGCUCUGCUCUGCGCCAUUUGAGUUGGUCUAUUUCACUGAUGAUGCUUGGAUGAGAAGUCUCAUGGAGACCGAUCUACCGAUGUACGUGUUGUGCACGGUGCUUGUAGGACUCUUCUUCUUGACGCACCAUCUCCAAUUUAGCACGGUCAGCCAUGUGUCGCAAGGCUCUAAACACCGGGACCCGCAUGGUUUCGAUAUAUGCUGCGGGUGUGAGAACCUCUUCUGCGUCUUCUGGGACUUGGCCUUUGAUCUCGUUGAAAAUCCACCGUAUCAGUUUGGCAUCUUCCACCAAUCGACCGAUGUUUUCCUGAAGAAGGGUUCGCAUGUUUUGGAGCUUGGCACGGACAUCUUCUGGUAUUGAGCUCAGAGUUAUUUGGCGUGAUGCAACUUCUUCGUCAUCAGAGACCGCAAUUGCAGAGGAGAAGAGGCUUUUGUUUGGCGUGUCUUACUCCUGCAGGGAUGUGGGAAAGUGUUUUAGCCGAUAAAAGUAAAAAAUCGGCUGGUAGAUAUAGAAGGUUCUUACCUCCUUCAAACAAAUCUCUUCUGCUUGGGUUGGCAGAGUCGUUACUCCCACCUCAGAAGUUUGCGGAGGUAGCUCAUUAGAGGGGGAAGACUUGACAAUGAUCGGCUCUCUAGGCGUAGCUGAUAAUGUGCUUGGACCAGCCUCCUGGAAAAGGAACAAAGGAAUCAUUUUUGAGUAUAAAAUAAUACUGGAUCUAAGUAGAAGUCUCGGUUUUCUUACCUCUCGGACGCGCGCAGCCAACGGUAGCACCAGGGGAAUGACUGACGUAUCUGGAGCGUCCUGUGUCAAGAAUCGUCUGAUUUUAGUUAUCAGAACUGUGGAGACUAAGGGAAGAGCAUGUUCUUUACCUCAAUUUGAAGAUUUGUAGGUAACACAAUUUUAGCUUGAGAAUCGGCCAAUUAAGGAACAGUCUGCUCUAGGAUAGGUUGUACGGCCUGUUGAAAAGAAACAAAUUUAGUAUUGGUGAUACAUAUGAAGAAGUCAGAGCAGAAAGAUUACUCGUGUAGCUUUCACCAAGAGUAACACAAUCGCCGACCCAGCCUCUGAUGCUGCUAGGGGAUCAAUGUCCUGAAUUGCCGACAAUACAUCUGCUUGGAUUGGUGCGGCUGAGGGCUCGACCGAUGUUGCUGCCGAUUGGUGGGUUGUUCGAGUUGUCGUAGAUUCAGUACGAGCUCAUACCCUGCGACUCGUCUUCUUUGUGGUGGAUAUUUUGAGCUUAUGCUUCAAUCGGUUGGUGGCUAUGUCCUCCAUUGAUGGGGCGUGAUAGCCGAUGAGAGGGUACGGUGUGUACGGAUGAUGGGUCUGUAUCAGUCUGCCACUCUAACUGUGCGUUGGAGGCACUUGGCUAUCAACCUGUGCAGGGUAAAAGGAUAAUGAUAAGAAAGUUCUGCAACAUGUGAAAAUUAUUGGUAAGGAAUCGACAAAAAAGUAUUGUUACCUCUGCAUUCGGAUCAGUGUGAGCGGGGUCCAGUUGAUUGCAAUACACUGCAGGGGCCGCACAGGAAAGGUACUGUUUCCACUCGGCCCACCACAAUUUGAAUUGUUGAGUGGAGAAGGGGACCACCAGCCAAGCGCUCAGAUCGAUGGUGUCGGAAUCCGGUGUCAGAUUACACAAUCUGUUGUAUUCCAGUCCUUUUGAAAUCGGUUCUCAAAAUUUCACUCGGCCGACGAAGUGAAUCCGAUUGGUAUUUGUCCCAAGCCAAAUUGCCGAGCUGCUACCGACGGGUUAUAGAACUCAUAUGUUGGAGAGUCCUUGCCAGAGAAGAAAUUUGCCGGUAGAAUCCCAGGUUGAUCAGGGUGUCCAUGAUUCCUUCAUCGAAGGUAUCGGUAGCCUAGUCAAAACAGUCAGGAUUCUAAAAAGUUGGGUUCUCUCUCUGAUAUGGAUACCAAUUCGUCACCUCUUCUUUAAAGCUGUUGUAAAAGCAUCUAAAGUGCUCGGCUAUUCUUGAGGGGGCAAGCUUGCCGCCUGGGAAAGUGGAUACGGCUUCACUAAAGGAAGUACAGCGGCGUCUGGCCAAUGGGUCGGUUUCUGAUUUAACAUUAGGAAAGUCUUGGUCUCAAUCCGCUCCUUGAAGAUUUCGCUCAUAUAUAAGUUGAGCUAGAGAUUGACAAACCACCAAGGACCACCAGGAUUCCUGAUAGGUUCUCCAGAUGAUAGCUUCACGCCGAUGUGAUGCAGCAUGUAAUACACUGACCCUAGUAGAUGCUUUCCCAAAGGGACUGUGGCUCCUCUAACUAGUGCUUCGGCCAAAGCCUGUGUGUUGGAAGUAGGACUGGCUAAUUUACCACAGAAGACAUACCUUUCCUGCCACAUCAUCAAGAAGGUCGUGUGCUCUUUUUCUGUGUUGGGUCCGGUCCUCAUGUUCUUCUCAAUGUAGCCUUUCCAUGUGCUGAUGGCUUUCGUCUCCAGCCGAUGGGUGGGUUUGAUUAAGAAAUCGAAAGGUGAGUCGGUGGAGGAAACAUCGAGGCCAGUCAGCAUCAGAACAUCGGCCAGGGUUGGAGUCAUUGGCCCAUGGUCGAAAAGAAAUGCAUUGAGAGCAUCGGACCAAAAGUAAGAUGCCGCGAUGAGCAGAGAUUCUUUCUUUUCCAUAUGAGAUAGAGAUAAAUUUCUGCAAUGGCCGAUUUUUCGCUCAUCCCAGAAGACUCUGUUGGAAUUUGACAUUCUAAAAAACCAAUCUCUCCAUCCGGGGGUUUGAUUCGGCCAAGACUUGAAAGUGUUCGCCCAAUUGUCUAGUUCCAUGGUCGAUUGCUUAAAAGGGAUCCUGUGAGUUUCUAGUUUAAUCAGAUCGGUUGGGUUAGGAUCUCCCAUAGAGCCAAGAUCGAUGAAUCCAGGGGUGUUGGCCAUGGGAUGGUGAUUCUUUGCCUGAGUUCUUGAGCAAAUGCGAAGAAAGACUAAGAACAGAUCUAAAAUCGCGAAAAGAUGAGGAGAGCCUAGAAGACUUACCUCAGGAACGAAGGUCAUGGUAGCUAUGGGUGCCACCAUUGGAGCUUGGGAGUUGGUGCGGUCGGUGAAGGACGUGAGCAAGUCACUGGAGUGCGCUGGGAUGUGCCUAGAAGUGGCACGAGCAAGGUCGCUGGGGUGUGCCGGGAGAUGAUUCGCUGGAAAGGAAACCCUUUUCGCCCGGAGGAAGAUGAAGCGGCGGAAGAGAUGAGUAUCUGCACGAUGACUCGGGAGAAGGGUAAAUAUGAAAUUUUUACCACGCCGUCUGCGCUAAUUUCGAAAGGAGCGGUUGCCUACAGGUGCUCAGUUCGAAAAAAUGCAAUCAUCAAGGAGAAGAUUUCGGGAGCAAAGAGGGUUUUGCUGCAUUUAUUGUUGCGUCUUUUCUGAAAGAAGGAAUCAGAGUUGAGAAAAUUUCGGAGAAAAAGAUAUGUUUCACUAUGAAGCUGGGAGGCAUGUGUUGAUGCCAGUUUUUAACACGUGUCAGGGUCGGUGUCAAGAGGAGAAGAAAGUGGCCAAUGCGGUUAAACAAGAGGCCAUGGCUAGAGAAAUCGGUCAGUAAAGCUAUAGUGUUCUGACCGAUUAGCUGAUGAGAUAGAUGAAGACUCACCGAUUGGAAGCCAGAACGCUGGAUUUUGACACGUACUUGAAAUCGGUGUCAAAGAAGGAGAAAGGGGGGCCGAUGCGGCGGACUAGAAGCUACAGUUGGGAAUCGGCCGAUUGAAGCUACAAUGUUUCAGCCGAUUGGCGGAAGAAAUUGGUGGAGGCUGGCCGAUUGGGAGUCAAAGCAGUUUGGCCGGUUUGGGCCUAAGGUGGGCCAGGAUGAAUAUUUGCUGAAGAGACAGGCCCGUGGGAAAAUAAUAACCAACUCGAAUACGAGUCGUGUUUGUAACUAUUUGUUGUCGUUUGAAAUUAGAGAUAGAUUCUAGUCGGUUAGGAAAUCAGUUCCAACACGCUAUAACUAGCUACCUCGAGAGGCUUGUAAAAAAAACAACACAUCAAUCAAUACAAAAAAAAUUACUCUUUCCUCGUACUUUACUUUCAAGUCGGCGACUUCGCCAAAACCUUUUUCUUUCACGAGUUCGUACGGAUUGGCAGGGCUGGAUCUACAGGAUCUCCGGCCGAUUCUGUAAGUUCCACUUAUCGAGUAAUACUAAGCUUUAACUUCGGGCGCAUCGCUGUUAUUUUGUUUAGAUUUAUUCACCAGUUAUCGAUAUCAACUAGAGUCAUAGGUUUUACCUGUUAUUUUAGUUUUUAUCACCAAUUAUCCAUCUUGAGGUACGAACUGUCGGUUUUUAUUAUUCUUAUCCUUUAUCAUCACAUAGCCGAUUAGAUCUACUCCAAGUUUUGCUUCUGUAGUGUUGUUUAGGUUGCUGUAAAAGUUUUCCUUAUGAUUGCUACAUGAGUAUCGGCUGUCUUAUAGCCGGUCAUCUCUACGGUAAAUCGGCCGAUUCGCUGAUACGCUCUUCAAGACAGAUCGGAACUCUAGCCGAUCGAAACCCCUAGAAUUUAAUAUUCUUCUUUCCAUGUCAAUCAUUAGGUCAGAUUGACUGGCAUGCCGCGCGAACCGCACUAGGGCAAUAACUCGAACAGGAGCUAAGUAGAUUCUCCUGGGUCGUGUGUCCGACGCUGAGGGUCAUCGGCCAAUUUUCAGCACCAACACACUUUUGGCAUGCCCGGUGGGACCAAACAAGAUCCAACAUGUCGAAGGCUGCUGAGAUCUUUGAAGAUAACGUCCUUGAAGUCAUUGAAGAAAAUCUCAAGGACGAUCAGAAGGAGGAACUGGCGAGGGCUAUAGAAGAAUACAGGAAGACAUGCCUGCAAUCUUUCAUUCGUACCAGAAGCGGGGAGACAGUCAAGAAAGCUCCUCUCUCCACUUCCCGCCAAAUCACCGUCAUCGAGGACUCAGGGAAGAUGUCUGAGAUGAUUCAACAGUCCGUUUAUCAGGCUAUGAUUGACCAAUCCACGGUGAUGACCAACACUGUAUACAACGCCAUCAUCAGCUCCUUGGUUAGCGGCGUAGCUCAGGGGUAUCAGGGACUAGCGUAUGCUCCUCCCAUCGUGGCACCGAUCAGAGGCUUCUUAGCAGCGCCAAACGUGUGUCACUCGACUCCUCAACUAAUGCAGAUGCAACGUGGAGGGUACUACACUUCAAUGCCCCUGGGGUACAAUGGUGCAUCAUUCUAUCAAUCGCAAGAACCGUCUCAUCCUAUGCCAAUUUCAUCCAUACAAUCGCCGCUCUCAAACUCGGCGCCAUGGGGGGUAGCAGCAGCAACCGCCGGUCUGGAUCCGUCAACCAGUUAUGGAAAGUCUCCAGUCCAGGCGUUAUUCCAAUCGGCCGAGGCCGAUAGCCCCGCAAUACCAAACAACCACUUCAGAUAUCGGCAGGAGGACAGGCGCUCUAGAAACACUCAGGGUUGCGGCGUCGAUAAUAUUGUACGAUGAAGUGACAGAUACACUAUGUCAGCAGCCAUCGGCUACUCAGCCGACAACCCAGCCACAAUAUCUGCAGAACACUCCAGUUUAUCACCCGAUCAUGGAACCGCAAAUCCAACAGCACGUACCGAUUCCUCAGCCGGUCGUGCAUCAGCAGCAGGUUGAUUGGACCGCGAAGAUAGCAGAGGUAAUUCAAGAUCAGUUUGUGUUAAAAGCAAAAGUACAAACUUACAUGUACAAGACGCCAUACCCACUUGCCUACGAUCUGUUACCGUUCCCUCAUCGGUACAAAGUCCUUGACUUCACCAAGUUCUCGGGCCUAGACGACACGUUGACUGUCGAGCACGUUAAUAGGUUCAUCAUCCAGUGCAGGGAGGCUGCUACGCAAGAUGCUUUGAUGGUGCGCUUGUUCUCGUCAUCCCUAUCCGGAUCAGCCUUGCAGUGGUUCACUACACUGCCGCCCAACGCCAUCGUUACCUUGGCCGAUUUGGAAAAGCAAUUCCAUAAGUACUUCUAUGCGGGAAUCCACGAGAUGAAACUCUCAGACCUAACUAGCCUCAAGCAAAGAAGCGAUGAGUCGAUGGCCAGCUACAUACAGAGGUUUAGGAAAGUUAGGAACAAGUGCUACACCUUGGUCUGGACUGACACCCAACUAGCCGAUAUCACCUUCCAAGGACUCCUGCCACACAUCAAAGAGAAGUACGCCUCCCAGGAGUUCGAAAGCUUGAGCCAAAUCGUCCAUCGGCUGUCCGGCCAAGAGAUACACCCUUUCGACCAACGAAGGAACUUUCAAAAGAAGGUAGCUUAUGUGGAAGGGUCUGAAUCGGGAGAGAAGGCGGAAAUCGGCCUAGCAGAGUCGGUAAAAGGAAAAAAGCCGAUAUCAUGCCCGUUUGGAAAAAAGGAACCAGAAACAUUCGGCUUUGACACGUCAAAAGCCGACAAAGUCUUCGACUUGCUGCUUCAAGAGGGGCAGAUCAAACUUUCGCCUUACCACACCAUUCCGUCGGCCAAGCAGCUCAAAAAGAUGAAAUACUGCAAAUGGCACAAUACCACAUCCCAAGACAAAAAUGAGUGCAAGAUCUUCCGACAAUAGAUACAAUUAGCCAUUGAGCAAGGAAGACUCAAGUUCGAGGUUCCAGCAAAACCAGUGAAGCCGAUGAAGAUUGAUCAACAUCCCUUCCCCGCCAACAUGGUCAAUGUAGGAAGAAACGCACUCCAAACCAAAGUUUUGAUGUUAGAAUUGGCCAGGAGAAGCGGUGCAGUGGAUCCCAAAAAUCAGGCCACGAUCGGAGAUGUCAAAGGAAAAGGACGGAUGGAAGAAGAAGGUGAAGGAUCAGAAAGGCCACGUCGGCCUGUCACUUCCCAAGACUUACUCAGCAAGUAUCAGCAGCAGCGGGAAGAUUCAAGACGCCACGAAGAGAUGAUGCGCCGACACGAAGAUCACUGGAGGUGCCCGUUUUUCAUCCACUGCUGGGAGAAUAACCUUAGAUUACCGUCGGCUGAUAAUUGCCCUGAGUGCAACGGCCAGUAUCGCAGUGGUCGUCCGUUCAAUAGAUCACGCUCCAAGGAUCGAGGGCUAGAGCCAAUCAGCAGAAAGAGGCACGAGCAAGGAGAUCGGCGCGUUUCAGUGCGUGAUCGGCUGGGGGGUAGAGUUGACCAGCAUAAUCGGCUGGGGGGCAGAACCAGCGCACAUGAUCGGCUGGGGGGUAGAACCAGCGCACAUGAUCGGCUGGAAGAGAUAGCUGACGCCAAAGUCUCAGAUGAGAACCUCCUAGGGUGAGAAUCAGGCUGGGAGCGUGCAAAGCCGCCGAGUAAACCAGUAAACCCCAGAUGGUGCCCAGCCGGUUUGACUAAGUCCUUGAAACGGAGGGUCCAGCGUUUGCACCAAUGGGAGCAGCAAGAAGAAAAACAAAGGUAGGUGAUGGAUAACAAAGGGGACAGGUCUCGAGUAUGGCGUCCUAGAAGAAAAUCCGACGCAGGAGACUAAAAUCAUGAUUCGACAGCUGACUUCAGCAUGAUGUUCAUCUUGCCGAUGGAGUUCAUGCCUCCCGCCGACCGGGACAAUGCGAUAGAGAUAGAGGAGCAAAUGGCACAAUUGGCUCUGGAGCCAAUGACCGCCACUUUUGAGAAACCCGAGGAUUAAAAACGCCAACAUCUCAAGGCCCUGUUCCUCAAAGGACAUGUCAACGGACGACCAGUCACCAAGCUGUUGGUAGAUGGAGGCGCUGCUGUGAACAUCAUGCCCUAUGCUAUGUUCCGCAAAUUGGGCAAAGGUAAAGAAGAUCUAACAAAGACGGAUAUAAUGCUCAAGGAUUUCGAAGGCAACGUAUCUCCGGCCCGAGGGGCACUCUGCGUCGACCUCACCAUCGGGAGUAAGGCCCUACCCACUAUUUUCUUUGUUAUUAAUGGCAAAGGCUCCUACAACAUGUUGCUCGAGCGAGAUUGGAUCCACGCAAACUGCUGCAUCCUGUCUACGAUGCACCAAUGCCUUGUCCAAUGUGUCGGCGACAACAUCGAAGUAGUCAUCGCCGAUUCCACCUAUAGCGUUGCCACGGCCGACGCACAACAGUGGAGCUACGAUCACGUCAAAUUCAAAUAUGGUAGGGUUUGGGACACCAAUUUCCUAAAGGUGUCCGAUUUCGGUCUACAGCCAAUCCAAGCAGUCAGCUCUAAAGAAUCAAGUUAAAAUGGAUCAGUUCAUCUGAGAAGAUGGGAAGCUCGGGCACGGGUUUACGUCGGCCGAUUCAUUGGAGAUGGUGGACCUUGGAGAUGGCAACAAGCCAAAGCCGACGUAUAUUCGUGCUAGGUUAGAACCCGAGUAUAAGCAUGAAUUAAUGAGUCUUUUACGAGAAUUUAAAGAUUGCUUUGCUUGGGAGUAUCAUGAGAUGCCUGGUCUAGACCGGUCCAUCGUCGAACACCGGUUGCCUAUAAAACCAGGGCAUUGGCCGCAUCAGCAACCUGCACGACGUUGUAAUCCUAAAAUUUUACCUGAUAUAAAGGCCGAGAUUACAAGAUUAAUUGAAGCAGGGUUUAUUCGGCAAUGUCGCUAUGCCGAGUGGAUUUCCAAUAUUGUGCCCGUAUACAAGAAAAAUGGAAAGUUACGUGUGUGCAUUGACUUCAGGAAUGUUAAUCAGGCUAUGUCGAUGGAUGGAUAUCCGAUGCCGAUGGCUGAUGUUUUAAUAGACGCCACCGCAGGACACAAAGUCAUCACCUUCAUGGAUGGUAAUGCUGGGUACAAUCAGAUAUUAAUAGUCGAAUAAGAUAUUUCAAAGACGGCUUUCAGAUGCCCAGGCCACCUCGGUUUGUUCGAGUGGGUAGUAAUGAGUUUCGGUUUAAAAAAUGCUGGAGCUACGUACCAACGGGCUAUGAAUUAUAUAUUCCACAAGCUUAUUUGUGUCCUGGUGGAGAUCUACAUUGACGAUGUCGUGGUCAAAUCAAAAGGGUAUCAGGAACACCUGGCCGAUUUGCGAAAAGUGUUGGAAUGCACAAGAAAGCAUGGGUUGAAGAUGAAUCCAAACAAAGUGUGCCUUCGGCGUUUCGGCUGGACAGUUUCUGGGAUUCAUGAUUCACGAGCGAGGCAUCGAGAUCAAGCGAAAAAUUAUAGUUGCUAUCAACAAAGUCGUGGGCCCCCAGAAUAAGACUGAGCUACAGUACUUAAUCAGCAAGGUUAACUUCAUCCGACGGUUCAUAUCUAACUUGUUCGGGCGUAUUCAAGCUUUCACCCCUUUGUUGAAAUUAAAACCCGAUCAAGAAUUUGUAUAGGGUAAGGAAUAGCAGAAAACAUUAGAUGGCAUCAAACAAUACCUAGUCUCGCCACCAGUAUUGGUUCCGCCGCAGGCCAACAAGCCAUUCAAAUUAUACCUAUUGGCUGAUGAACGAGCUAUUGGGUUGGCGCUGGUCCAGGAAUGUGAAGGAAAAUAAAGAGUAAUCUAUUAUGUCAACAGAAGACUCCUGAACGUUGAAACUAGAUAUCCUCCGGUGGAACGGCUGUGCCUUUGUCUAUAUUUUUCAUGCACCAAACUCAGGCACUAUCUGUUAUCGGCAGAGUGCAUAGUCGUUUGCAAAGAUGAUGUGGUCAAGUACAUGUUGUCAUUGCCGAUUUUGAAAGGGAGGAUUGGAAAGUGGAUUCUAGCUCUCUCAGAGUUCGACCUGAGGUACGAAUCGGCCAAAGCUGUCAAGGGGCAAGUAAUGGCCGAUUUCGUGAUCCAGCACUGUGGACCAGAAAUUACUGUCGAACCAGCUCCGUGGACACUAUACUUUGAUGGGUCUGCGUGUGGGGCCGGAUCGGGAAUCGGCAUCAUCCUCAUAUCGUCUCGAGGGGCAAGUUAUGAUUUCUCUCUGCCGUUUGAGGCGUCCGCUACUAAUAAUCAAGCGGAGUAUCGGGUUGUUCUAAAAGGUAUCCAAUUAUUAAGAGAGGUCAAAGCUGACGUGAUGGAAAUUUUUGAGGAUUCCAUGCUCAUUGUAGAUCAAUUAACUGGAAAGUCUGAAUGCAAGGAUGAUAUCUUGAGGAUUUACUACGAAGAUUGCCUCAAGUUAUUGAAGGAGUUCAAGUCUUUGAUUAUUGAGCAUAUUCCCAGGAAUUACAACGAAGAAGCCAAUAGACUUGCCCAACAUCCUUCCGGGUAUCGGCUGUGUUGACGCCAGAUUUUGACACGAGUAAAAUCGGCGUUAGAAGUGGAAGAAAUUAGGAGAUGCGGCGAGAUACAAGGGCAACGAUUGGAAAUCGGCCGAUUGGUGCUACAGUCAAGGAUCGGUUGGUUGGUGCUGCAGUCAAGGAUCGGCCAAUAGAUGCUACAGACGAGGAUCGGCCGAUUGAUCCUUAGAGUUCCGCCUCGCACGACCCCUGGUUUGGGAUCGGACACGCCCGACCCUCCAAGGGAGGAUCUCCGCCUCGCCCGACCCCUGGUUUGGGAUCGGACGCGCCCGACCCUCCAAGGGAGGAUCUCCGCCUCGCCCGACCCCUGAGGUUUGGGAUCGAACGCGCCCGACCCUCCAAAGGAGGAUCUCCGCCUCGUCCGACCUUAGUUCCCAGGGUCGAAAUGAGUCUGAGCCCUCGAUAUGUGGGUCCUGAUCGGUUACCCCCCUUGCCAAAGAGGUGAUCGGCCGAUUAGGAGGUUGGAAUAGUUGGGCCGAUGUGGGCUCAAGAAGGAUUAUGAAGAUGAAGAGGGGGUCAGCCCAUGAAGCGCGUGAAAAUAGUACGAAUCGUACUUGUAAAUAUUCGUUUUCUGUUUAAAUUUAGGGAUAGAGUUCUAGUCGGAUAAGAAGUCGUUUGUACGGGGCUAUAAAUAGCCACCGUUGUAGAUCUGUAAUCAUCAUCAACUCAAUACAACAAACUACUAUUUCCUCGUACUUACUUUCAAGCAGGCGACUUUACCAACACUUUUUCUCCUUUUUCACGAGUUCGUACGGGUUGGCGGGGCUGCAUCAACUUGACCUCCGGCCGAUCUUGUAAGUUCCGUUUAUCGACUAAAUUCUAAGCUUUAACUUCGGGCGCAUCGCUGUCAUUUCGUUUAGAUUUAUUCAUCAGUUAUCGAUAUUUACUAGAAUUCUAGGUUUUACCUGUUGUUCUAGUUUUAUCACCAAUUAUCCAGCUAGGAAUCGGUAAAUUCGGCUUUCUUUAUACUUCUCUGUCUAAUCUAUUUAUUUUAGCCGAUUAGAUCUGUUCCUAGUGUUGCUACUGUAGCGUUGUUUAGAUUACUCUAGCAGUUUUCUUUAUAAACGUUACCUGGUAAUCGGUUGCACUAUAGCCGAUUUCCUUAUUACGGCAAAUCGGCCGAUUCGCUGAUAAGCUUUCUUGAGAUCGGAACCUUAGCUGAUCGCAACCUCUGGGAACUGACACGUUUAUUUCCUUGCCAAUCAACAGUUCAGAUUGGCUGGCUCGCCGCGCGAACCGUACCAGGGCAAUCACCCGAACAGGAGUUAAGCAGAUUCUCCCGGGUCGUGUGUCCGACGCUGGGAAUUCGGUCAGCUGAUUUCUAGUGCCAACACACUUUUGGCACGCCUAGUGGGGCCAAUACAACCGCCACCAUGUCGAAAGCUGCUGAAGUCUCCGAAGAUAACAUCAUCGAAGUGACAGAGGCAGAUCUCAGGGACGACCAGAAGGAAGAACUAGAGAGGCAGACAGCAUACUACCGGAAGACAUGUCUGCAGUCCUUCAGUCGCACCAGGAGCGAGGAGACUAUCAAAAAGGCUCCGUUUCCAACUCCCCGCCAGAUCACAAUCACCGAGGAUUCGGACAAGAUGUCCGAGAUGGUCCAGCAAUCCGUCUAUCAAGCUUUCAUUGAUCAAUCCCCGGUGCUUUCUAAUACGGUAUACAAUGCCGUCAUCAGCUCCUUGGCUAGUGGUGUAUCUCAAGGGUACCAGGGGCCGGCAUAUGUUCCGCUGAUUAUGGCUCCGAGCAAUGCGGCGACAUGAAGAUCACUGGCGAUGCCCGUUCUUCAUCCACUGUUGGGAAAGCAACCUUAGGUUGCCUUCGGCCGAUAAUUGCCCCGAGUGCAACGGCCCGUAUCGUAACAAUCGGCCGUUCAGCAGGUCUCGCUCCAGAGAUGGGAGAUCAGAGCCGAUCAGCAGGAACUGGCGCGACCAAGACAACCGGCGCCCUCCAGUACGUGAUCGGCUGGGGGGCAGAAGUGACCGGUAUGACCGGUCGGAAGGCAGGCGCAAUGAUGGGCCGGGGGCAGAUUUAAUCGACGUGACCGGCCAGAAAAUAGAGUCAGCGUCCACAGACGACUUGAAUAGAUGGCCGAUGCUCGGGUGUUAGAUGAGAACCCUUUAGGACGCGAACUAGAAUGGGAACGCGCCAGGCCACGAACCAAACCGGUGAACCCCAGGUGGUGCCCCGAUGGAUUGACCAAGUCUCAAAAACGAAGAAUCCAACGUCUCCGCCAGUGGGAACAGCAGGAAGAAGAGCAACAGUACACGACGGACGAGAAGAAAGGCAGGUCUUAGGUAUGGCGCCCCAAAAGAAACGACAGAGGAGGCGACAAAUCAGCAGGCGAUGAAUCGGCAGCCGAUAUCGACAUGGUCUUCAUACUGCCGAUGGAAUUCAUGACUCCUGCCGACCAACAGGACAUGUCAGCAAUAGAAGAGUAGAUGGCGCAAUUGGCUUUGGAGCCAAUGACAGCCACAUUCGAGAAGCCCGAAGAAGACAAACGGCAACACCUGAAAGCGUUGUUUCUUAAAGGGCAUGUCAACGGCCGACCCAUCACCAGAUUACUGGUAGACAGAGGGGCUGCAGUCAACAUCAUGCCGUACGCCAUGUUCCGGAAGCUAGGGAAGAGCAAUGAUGACCUGACCAAGACAGACAUGAUGCUCAAGGACUUCGAGGGCAACGUAUCCCCCGCUCACGGCGCUCUCUGCGUCGACCUCACCAUCGGCAGUAAGACCCUUCCUACUACUUUCUUUAUUAUUAAUGGCAAGGGGUCCUACAACAUGCUACUCGGCCGAGACUGGAUACAUGCAAAUUGCUGUAUCCCAUCUACAAUGCAUCAAUGCCUCGUAUAGUGGGUCGGCGACAACAUUGAGGUGGUCACCGCCGAUUCCGCAUACAGCAUCGCGGCAGCCGACACGCAACAGUGGAGCUGCGAAACCGUCAAGUGCAUAUCCGGGAGAGUAUGGGAUACUGACUUCUUGAAGGUGUCCGAUUUUGGCCUACAGCCGAUCCGAGCAGUCGGCUCUGAGGACUCAGAUUAAAUGGAUCAGUUCACCCGAGAAGAUGGGAAGCUGGGACAUGGGUUCACGUCGGCCGAUUCAUUAGAAAUGAUAGACUUAGGCGAUGGCACCAUACCAAGGCCGACAUAUAUUAGUGCAAAUUUAGAUCCGGAAUACAAAUGUAAACUGACAAGUUUGUUAAGAGAACUUAAGGAUUGCUUUGCUUGGGAAUAUCAUGAGAUGCCCGGAUUAGACCGAUCUAUCGUUGAACAUCGGUUACCCAUAAAGCCAGGGUAUCGGCCGUAUCAACAGCCUGCACGGCGGUGCAAUCCUAAAAUCCUACCGGACAUAAAGGCCAAAAUAACGCGGCUAAUCAAAGCAAAAUUUAUUCGGCAAUGCCGUUAUGCCGAAUGGAUCUCCAACAUUGUACCAGUAUAUAAGAAGAACGGAAAGUUACGCGUAUGCGUCGAUUUCAGGAACCUCAAUCAGGCCACACCAAUGGACGGAUACCCCAUGCCGACGGCUGAUGUACUGAUAGAUGCCGCCGCGGGACACAAGGUUAUUAGUUUCAUGGAUGGAAACGCUGGGUACAAUCAGAUACUUAUGGCCGAAGAAGACAUAUCUAAAACGGCCUUCAGAUGCCCGGGUCACCUUGGUUUAUUCGAGUGGGUGGUAAUGACUUUCGGCUUGAAAAAUGUCGGCGCUACGUAUCAGAGAGUCAUGAACUACAUAUUCCACAAACUUAUCGGCAUACUAGUAGAAAUCUACAUCGACGACGUCGUAGUCAAGUCAAAAGGACACCAGGAGCAUCUGGCCGAUUUACGACAGGUGUUGGAAUGCACUAAGAAACAUGGGCUGAAGAUGAACCCGAAUAAGUGUGCCUUCGGCGUAUCCGCCGGACAAUUCUUAGGAUUCAUGGUGCACGAGCGGGGAAUAGAAAUCAAUCAGAAGACUAUAGCGGCCAUCAACAAAAUUGUGGCCCCGCAGAAUAAAACUGAGCUGCAAUCUCUAAUCGACAAGAUGAAUUUCAUCAGGAGGUUCAUAUCUAAUUUGUCUGGGCGAAUCCAAGCCUUCACACCAUUAUUAAAGUUGAAGCCCGACCAGGAGUUCGUAUGGGGGGAAGAGCAACGCAAGGCAUUGGAAGAUAUCAAGCAGUACUUGGUCUCACCACCGGUAUUGGUCCCUCCUCAAACUGGUAAGCCGUUUAAACUAUAUUUAUCAGCCGAUGAACGAGCUAUUGGGUCGGCUCUGGUCCAGGAGUUCGAGGGAAAGGAACGAGUAAUUUAUUAUGUCAGUAGAAGACUUCUGGACGCCGAAACAAGGUAUCCUCCAGUGGAGCGGUUGUGCCUAUGCCUUUACUUCUCAUGUACCAAACUCAGGCACUAUUUGCUAUCAGCGGAAUGUGUGGUCGUAUGCAAGGACGACGUGGUAAAAUACAUGCUGUCACUGCCGAUUUUGAAAGGAUGGAUCGAAAAAUGGAUCUUGGCUUUGUCGGAGUUUGACCUUCGAUAUGAAUCGGCAAAAGCCGUUAAGGGUCAGGUCAUGGCCGAUUUCGUUGCCCAGCACUGCGGGCCAGAGGCUACCUUCGUAGAACCAGUACCUUGGACCUUAUACUUUGAUGGAUCGUCAUGUGGGGCCGGAUCAGGAAUCGGCAUCGUCCUCAUAUCGCCUCGGGGGGCAAGCUAUGAUUUCUCUCUACCGAUAGAAGCAUCCACCACUAACAAUCAAGCAGAGUACUGAGCUGUACUGAAGGGAUUACAAUUGCUAAGGGAAGUCAAAGCUGAUUCCGUCGAAAUUUUUGGGGAUUCCAUGCUUAUCGUGGAUCAGUUAACAGGGAAAUCCGAGUGCAAGGACGAUGUAUUGAGGAUUUAUUACGAAGAUUGCCUCCUGCUUCUGAAAGAAUUCAAGUCGGCAGUUAUCGAGCACAUCCCAAGGAAUCACAACGAGGAUGCCAACAAGCUCGCCCAACACGCAUCUGGGUAUCGGCCGAUUCAAGGCGCCUUGGCUCUAGAGCUCGCGGCCAAUGACUGGCGAAAGGAGAUUGCCGAUUACCUGAAAGAUCCGUCUAAGAAAGUGGAUCGGCGGGUAUGUUUUCAUGCUACCAAAUAUGUGCUACUGGAAGACGACUUGUUCUACCGAACAAUUGAUGGCGUCCUACUCAAGUGUCUAGGAACGGAGGAGGCUAAGACUCUGAUGGGAGAAAUCCAUGAAGGAGUGUGUGGAGCCCACCAAUCGGCACAUAAGAUGAAAUGGAUGAUUAGGAAUAAUGGGUAUUACUGGCCGACGAUCCUCGAAGAUUGCUUCAAAUAUUAUAAAGGAUGUCAGGAUUGUCAGAAAUUCGGGAAUGUCCAACGUGCGCCCGCAUCGGCCAUGAAUCCCAUUAUCAAACCAUGGCCGUUCAGAGGUUGGGGGAUAGACCUCAUCGGCCAAAUUUAUCCUCCGUCAAGCAAAGGGCACAAGUUCAUUCUGGUGGCCACUGAUUAUUUCACCAAGUGGGUGGAGGCAAUUCCGUUAAGGGCCGUGACAUCGGCUGCUAUGGUUGACUUCGUAAGAGACCAUAUCGUCUACCGUUUCGGCAUCCCCCAGACUAUCACGACCGAUCAAGGGACAAUGUUUACAUCAGGAGAAUUCGAGGAGUUCACAGCCGACAUGGGAAUCAAAUUAUUAAACUCCUCUCCGUAUUAUGCCCAAGCUAAUGGCCAGGUCGAAUCUUCCAACAAGGGGAUAAUUAAGUUAAUCAAGAGGAAGAUAGAGGAGCAGCCGAAAAAGUGGCAUCUAUGUCUGACUGAAGCUCUAUGGGCAUACAGGAUGGCUUGCCAUGGGGCCACUAAGAUGUCCCCUUAUCAGUUGGUGUACGGUCACGAGGCAGUACUACCAUGGGAGUUGAGGGCAGGAUCGAGACGCACUUCGCUCCAGGACCAGUUAGCGGCCGACGACUACUCCUCACUCAUGAAAAGGGAACUUGAUGACUUGGCUGGCCAACGAUUGAGAGCUUUGAUAAGCAUCAAAGAAAACAAGAAGAAAGUGGCCAGGUGGUAUGAUAAGAAAGUCAAAGUCAAACAAUUCUCUCCGGGGGACCUGGUAUGGAAGUUAGUGUUGCCGAUCGGGUCGAAAGAUCCUAAAUUCGGUAAGUGGUCCCCUACGUGGGAAGAGCCGUAUAAAAUCGGCAGAUGUGCUCCAGGAAACGCUUAUAUUCUGGAAACAAUCGAAGGAGAGAAGAGUUUACUAGGGCUUUGAACGGAAGAUACUUGAAAAGGUACUACCCUAGUAUAUGGGUCGGAGCAUAAGGAUCGACCAUGAUGAACAACACACAGCCAAUACAAAAGGAUUCGUCUAGAGAAAAAAACGUAAUCGUCCAAAUCGGCCGAUGUAUUUCAUUCGGUACGGACGGUGGGUUACACGGCCGACAAGGUACAAGUUGCCCUUAGAACAAAAAAAAAUUAAUCACGCUUUUUCUUAAGCUCUCUCUCAGCCCGACCUAGUUCUAUCAGAAGACGGAUGUACUCUUCUUUUAUCUCUUUCAUCGAAGCCUCCGCUUCGACUUGACGGGGGAGAGGGUGACUCCGGUCCAUGGCCGGGCGUGAUGUUCCUACUGCUGCAUCUUCAAGGACGAUUUGAUGAGGAAGCGGAUGACUUCUGUCGGCUUGAGGUCGCCGGUGGUCGUUGCUGUCCAGAAAGUCCCAGAUCCAUCGGAUGUCGGCAGGGACGUGCUCUUGGAGUUCGUCGCGAUGAGCUCUGAUUAAAUCCUUAUCUUCUUGCGACAACGGUUCAUCGGAGUGUACAAGUCCGAUGGCUCGUUCGAGUUCGGGGCUAAGGCGCCGUGGCUGCGGAAAGCAACAAUAUACAUAUAGCUGCCGAAAAGGUGAUUCCCUUCAGAAGAGCUAAACUAAGAAAGAGAAUGAAGGCAAAUCUUUUACCUGAUUAACGGAGGAAGAGGUAGAGGAUGGAGAAGACAUGACUGAAAGGCGCACCGACGUGAACAGGUCGAGGAAGAUGAAGCCGAGUUAGAAAGGUACUCUCGGAACGGUCACCUAGGCCGGUGUUUAUAGGAAAGGAAGGCAUGGAUGUUUGGUAAGACGCGUCCCAUCGGGAGUGUGAAAGGUAAUAAAUAAGGGGGCGUCGCGAAGGACGGUCAAAGGGAUCAUUAAAUGUUCGUACAAGAACUGCCAGCACUUUUACAGGUCACCCAGAAGGGCAUCGAUAGCUGCGAUCGCUCGACGCCGGAUCUGAUCGGCAGAGUCCAGGACCCGUUGGUCAUCCUCUGCCGAUCCGGGGACUUCUAACAUAUGGCGGUGGAGUUUGAGGGCCUCGUGAGCCAGAUGCUGCCUCUCUCGUUUCAGAUCGGCAAUGACAGAAGGGAGUUCCUGAAGCCUCUUCUCUUCGGCGUCUAUUGCUUUGGUCACCUGCUCCAUCUCCUUGGCAAGCUCUGCCCUUCGGCGUUUGAGGCGAUCUAUCGUGCCGACGAUCCCCGGGCGAGAGUCUUCCAGAAAGUGAAUCCGUUGAUGCACCUCUUGAGCUUGACGCUUGUACGUGUCUUCUUCUUCACGAGUUUUGGUCAACUUGACGCGAUCGGCCAUGUGGCGCAGGGCCCUAAAGACUGGAAUCCUCAUUGACUCGAUAUAUGCAGCUGGCGCCAAGGCCUCUUCCGCUUCUUCUGGUACUCGCCCGCUGACGUCACCAAAAAGUUGUUGAAUCAGCGAAGCGUCUUCUACCAAUCGGCCGAUGUCCUCUUGAAGAAGGGAUCGGAUGCUUGCGAGUUUGGCACGGACGUCAUCAGGAACGGAGCUCAAAGUGACCUGGCGAGAGGCGACUUCCUCAUCAUCGGAGAGUGCGACCGCAAACGAGAAAAGGCUGUUGUUGGGGGUGUCCUGUUCCUGAAAAAUAGUGAGUCAAGAAGAAGAACAAAUCAGCCGAUGAUGAUAGCAAAUCGGCUGAGUAAGGGUGAGAAAUCUCUUACCUCCUUGAAACGGAUUUCUUCAAACUGCGUUUGGGAGGCUGUUAUCCUCGAUUCAGGGGCUGGUACCAUUGGUUCGUCAGAAGCUGAAGACUCCACCAUGAUUGGUGCUUUGCUCGGGCCAGCUUCCCGAAAGAUGACCAUUGGUUGGUUAGGUGGGGCGCUAAGCGUACCGGUGACCUGUGUCAAAAGAUUGAAUAAGAAUAUUAUCCAAAUACUAGAAAAAUCGGUUGAAGAGUAGUAUACCUCGGCAGACGGAAGCGUGGGCGUGUUGAUGACCGAUUGGGUUGCUGCCGAUUGUUGUGAGUCCACAGAAGUGAUUUGUGUAGUCUAAAAUAAGAUGAGUCAGUAUAGAGAUGGCAAUCGGUAGGAUCAAACAACAAGUUUACCUGCAUGGCCUCCACCAGUAAUGAUGCAGCGGCCGCCCCAGCUUGCGUGACGACUUGAGUAUCUACUUCUCCAGCAGCUGGAAGGGGCAAUGUGGCCGAAGUUUCUGCCGAUGUGAUCGUAGGAGGGUCGGCCGGUUCUGUACGAGCUCGCACUCGGCGACUGGUCUUCUUGGUAACCUUCUUCUGCGCCUGCUUCGAUCGGCCGGCAAUCACAUCCACGGAAGGGGCAUCGUAGCCGAUAAGGGGGAAGAUGGUGUAUAGGUGAUGGUCCUCUAUCGGCCGGCCACUCCGACUGUGUGUUGGGGGAACGCAGUUUUCAGACUGAAGCAACAGCAAGAUGUUAGUGUACAUAUUUAACCGCAUUAAUAAAGGAAUGAAAAUCAGUUAGGGAAAAAAAAUACCUCGGUGUUCGGAUCGAUGUUGGCUGGAUCCAGGAGGUUGCAGUAUGUCGAUGCGGAGGCACAGAAUAGGUACUGUUUUCAUUCGGCCCACCAUAGCUUGAAUGGUUGGACAACAAAGGGGGCUACUAUCCAGUCAUUCAAGUCUAUGGUACUGGAGUCUGGUAUCCGGUCUCGCAGCCGACUAUAGUCAAGACCCUUGGUGAGCUCAUCUCUGAACUUUGCUCGGCCGACGAAGUAUGCCUGAAUCGGCAGUUGACCCAUGCCGAAUUGCCGAGCUGCAACGGAGGGAUUGUAGAAUUCAUAUGUAGGGGCAUCCUUUCCUGAGAAGAAGUUGGCCGGUAAGAUCCCCGGUUUAAUUAGUUCAUCUGUGAGAUCUUCGUCGAAUCAGCCGGUGGUUGAGUCGAAGCAAGAAGGGAGUUCAAAGAUUGGGUCAUCUCUCCAAUAAGGAAACCAGACGGUUGCAUCUUCAUUGAAGCCGUUAUAAAAACACUGGAAGUAUUCGGCCACCUUGGUAGCAGAGUACGAGCAACCAGAGAAGGCCGAUGCCGCUUCGCCGAAAGACAUACACCGGCGUCGGACAGUGAGAUUCUCUGCCGAUUCGACGCUGGGGAAUGUCAUGUGUUCCACUCGCUGCUGAGAGAUCUCGCUCAUGUACAAGUUCAGCCAUAAGUUAAUGAACCACCAGGGUCCACCUGGGUUUCCAAUUGGCUACCCUUGGGAUAGCUUGAUGCCGAUUUGGUGAAGCAUGUGGUAGGCUGCUCCCAGUAAGUGCUUUCCAAGAGGAACAGAAGUCCCUAUUGAUAAUGCUUCGGCCAGAGCUUGGGUAUUGGUAGAUGGACCAGCUGCUCUCCCACAGAAGAAGUGCUUCUCUAGCCACAUCAUCAGGAAGGCCGUGUGCUCUCUGUUGUCGACAGAUCCGGCCCUUUUGUUGCAUCUGAUGAAACCUUUCCACCUGCCGAUUCCCCUUGUGUCCAGCCGAUGUGAUGUUGCGGUUAUAAGGCGGAAAGGGGUGUCCGGGGAAGAAAUAUCCAGGCCGGUCAGGAAGACUACAUCGGCCAAUGUGGGGGUCAUGGGUCCGUGUCCAAACAGGAAUGCGUUGAGAGCAUUGGACCAGAAGUAAGAAGCUGCCACCACUAAUGGCUCAUUCCGUUCCAUUUGGGACAAAGAUAGAUCGAUGCAUUGGCCAAUUUUGAGCUCGUCCCAUUGGACCUUCUUGGAAGCGGUUAUCCGCUGGUACCAUUCCCUCCAACUGGGAGUUUCGUUCGGCCAAGACCUAAAGGUACUCAACCAGUGAUCUAGGUCCAUAGUUGAUUGUUUGAAGGGGAUCCUAUGGGUUUUCCAAAUUGAUUAAGUCGGUUGGAUCUGGAUUUCCCAUGGGUCCAAGACAGAUAAGGCCGAGGUUUUCUGUGAGACGAAUGGUGAUGCGAUGCCUAACCGCCUAAAAAGGAAAAGGGGGUGCGAGGGUAAGAAAUAGAUCUAAAGUACAUGCAUUACUAAUAAGGGAAAGUUUCGGUAAUGACCUCCGGGAUGAAGCUCCUCGUAAUCGGCGGAGUCGCCGGUGCAGCUGCAGACGAUGAAGCUGCCAAUGGGAUCUCGGAUGAAGCUUCAACUUUCGCCAAUGGAGCUCCUUCUUCCGUCGAUGGAGCCGUCGUUAUCGCUACUGGAACCUCCGCCGAAGGCACCAUUUCUGGAGCUUCGCGCAUUGGUGAGGUGCCUGAAGGUGCCGCCAUUGGAAAAGUAGGAGGCAAUGCGAAAGGAAGGAGGCGCUGGAGAAUUGGUGGACUAAGGAAAGUGUUGGAGGAAGAAGAAAGCCUGUGCACUGAAGAAGAUGGACAUGAGCUCGUAAGGAGUACGGGAUGUGCUGAUAUUUAAAGAACGUCUGAGAAGGGGUAAAAGUGGAAUUUUUACCGCGCUGGCGUUUUGAGUUUUUCGGGAGUAGUGGUUGUCGUGGGCACCCGUUUCGAAAAGAUUGCAAUCAUCAGGUUGGAGACCGCGAAAUGGAAGGAUGUUUUCAUUGCGUCUGUUUCGGAUGAGAAGUUGAAAAGAAUUUUGAAGUAAAGACUAUGUUUUACUCCGAAACUGGGAGGCAUGUGUUGACGCCAGAUUUUGACACGAGUAAAAUCGGCGUUAGAAAUGGAAUAAAUUAGGAGAUGCGGCGAGAUACAAGGGCGACGAUUGGAAAUCGGCCGAUUGGUGCUACAGUCAAGGAUCGGUUGGUUGGUGCUGCAGUCAAGGAUCGGCCAAUUGAUGCUACAGAUGAGGAUCGACCGAUUGAUCCUUGGAGUUCCGCCUCGCCCAACCCCUGGUUUGGGAUCGGACGCGCCCGACCCUCCAAGGGAGGAUCUCCGCCUCGCCCGACCCCUGGUUUGGGAUCGGACGCGCCCGACCCUCCAAGGGAGGAUCUCCGCCUCGCCCGACCCCUGAGGUUUGGGAUCGGACGCGCCCGACCCUCCAAAGGAGGAUCUCCGCCUCGUCCGACCUUAGUUCCCAGGGUCGAAAUGAGUCUGAGCCCUCGAUAUGUGGGUCCUGAUCGGUUACCCCCUUGCCAAAGAGGUGAUCGGCCGAUUAGGAGGUUGGAAUAGUUGGGCCGAUGUGGGCUCAAGAAGGAUUAUGAAGAUGAAGAGGGGGUCAGCCCAUGAAGCGCGUGAAAAUAGUACGAAUCGUACUUGUAAAUAUUCGUUUUCUGUUUAAAUUUAGGGAUAGAGUUCUAGUCGGAUAAGAAGUCGUUCGUACGGGGCUAUAAAUAGCCACCGUUGUAGAUCUGUAAUCAUCAUCAACUCAAUACAACAAACUACUAUUUCCUCGUACUUACUUUCAAGCAGGCGACUUUACCAACACUUUUUCUCCUUUUUCACGAGUUCAUACGGGUUGGCGGGGCUGCAUCAACUUGACCUCCGGCCGAUCUUGUAAGUUCCGUUUAUCGACUAAAUUCUAAGCUUUAACUUCGGGCGCAUCGCUGUCGUUUCGUUUAGAUUUAUUCAUCAGUUAUCGAUAUUUACUAGAAUUCUAGGUUUUACCUGUUGUUCUAGUUUUAUCACCAAUUAUCCAGCUAGGAAUCGGUAAAUUCGGCUUUCUUUAUACUUCUCUGUCUAAUCUAUUUAUUUUAGCCGAUUAGAUCUGUUCCUAGUGUUGCUACUGUAGCGUUGUUUAGAUUACUCUAGCAGUUUUCUUUAUAAACGUUACCUGGUAAUCGGUUGCACUAUAGCCGAUUUCCUUAUUACGGCAAAUCGGCCGAUUCGCUGAUAAGCUUUCUUGAGACCGGAACCUUAGCCGAUCGCAACCUCUGGGAACUGACAUGUUUAUUUCCUUGCCAAUCAACAGGUCAGAUUGGCUGGCACGCCGCGCGAACCGCACCAGGGCAAUCACCCGAACAGGAGUUAAGCAGAUUCUCCCGGGUCGUGUGUCCGACGCUGGAAAUUCGGUCAGCUGAUUUCUAGCGCCAACAGGCUCAUUUAUGUCGCCUGACACGCGAAUAUGCACUUUAACCAAGUCAACCUGGUCGACCGUCGGAUUUCAUCCGAUGAACCACUUACACAGGAUCAAGAAGCAUCGCUCAAACGAAGGUGAGUAGCACAGAGGUUACAACAUUCCAUUAUGACAACUUAGUUCCACAAUUUAUUACAUCAGAGUUUCAGAAAUUCAAACAAGUUGCAAGGUUCGAAAAGUCGGAUAAAACAAGCGAAAACUAAACGUCGAUACAGGAUAUCAUGACGAAGUUGAUCAUGACAUCAAAAAUCCCUACCCUCACCGUCCGAGGAGGGAUCCCACUCGAUUGUCCAGCCCGGAGGGAGCUGGGUAGGCCAAGUGGUGCCAGCAACCAAACUAUUGACAUGACCUGAAAAGAUUAAGCCAUAACAAGGCUGAGCAACUAAUACUCAGCAAGACUGACCCGUCGAGUGAAAAGCUUUACCAAGACCUAGACAUGCAAGGCUUUCUGGCUCUGGGAUUACUUUGCCAAAAGCAUCUACAGUCGGUCCUUACUUUCAAUAUUUUAGCUUAAGUUCUACGUUCUUUAACCAGUCUAGAUUAGCAACUUAUACUAAACAAGCAUAAUUUCCAAGUAGUUAAAUAACAAGCAUCAACUUAAUCUCAUAAUCAUGUUUCAUCGUUACUCAGUGCAGAAUAGCGAUCAAGUAGUCCCAAACUGUGAGAGACAGAUGAAUCGAUUCGAAUUUAUUAACCAUGCAUGGCGAACCUAAUCUCACGACAUCCGCGCACCACGAAGGGUCGCUUCAUUUGUCAGCCGUCCCCAUCGAUCCCUUAGGCACGUGUCAGGGCCAAACUGCCUUUGGCGUGCAAUGCUCCACAGUCCCGACCUCUGUCGUACUGUGACCGCCACUGCACCCACAUGAUGCACCAUGGGAACGACGUUCCAAGGACAGCAGGAGUAUAAGCCACGUCCCAGUUCAGUCAGGUACUAGGCUUCCCCAUCCCAGACUAGGUAUGAGAUUAGUACUUUCAAACACUUGAUCACGAACGCUGACACGUUUCAACCUUAGAUCAAUUUCCUUUAGACAGACGGGGAAAACCACCAAGUAUCGAACAUAAGCCCGACCCCGUCCGUCAUCCUUAUAGUUGCAACAUAAAUAAACAUUCAACUCCUAUAACUCGCGAGUGAUAGGAAAUCACUCGACUUUUACUGAAACCUAAUAAGCAUUGCAACUACUCGACUUUAGCAACUAGUAUUCAAACAAGGUACUAAGUUCAUGCAUCUACGGUUUCAAUCAACUCCUACACACGUAAAUGCGCAAACAUAAACAUCAACAUGUUGCAUAAAGUAAAACAGGGAAGUCAUGCACCGGGGCUUGCCGUCAGGAAGAGUUAGCGGGUCCUCGGGGUCUUGAUCCGGCUCAGGCUCGCCUUCCAAGUGGUGAAGCUCCGCAGCGGGGUCUUCCUCCGGUGUCGGGUGGAGCUCGUAGGUUCCAUCGGCGAGAUUUGCUUCUAUACGACAUGCAUAUGCAAAAGUUUAGUUGGACUCACGCGUUUAUUCAACGACACAAGGCUUGGCUUAAGACAAGGAGUUGCAACAGCCACAUUCACUUUGACGAGGUUCAACUUUCAUGCAACUUCAAACGAAUGUGGUCGGUUUAAACUUGAGUUCGAGUUGAAUGGCGAUUGUGUACAUAUAUAGUUUUCUUACACUUAGAGUUGCAUAAAGAGAAUGAAAGGUCGUGUUUGGGUGGUUUGGGUGCAUUAGGAUAGUUACUUACUUCUGAAUGUUUUUAUGUACCUCUUUCAAUUUCCACUUAUUUAUCGUAUUAGAAUUUGUGCUUUCCUUUUAUUCCUUUAGGUUGAUUAAUUAACCAAAAUGACUUCAUAUCCAAACAGCAGCUAAAGGCACUGAUAAAAUUACAACACCUCACUUAAGCCAUAGCUGGGUUACUCUAAAAUUUUGGGGGCCAUUGGAUGACUUAAAAAGGAAUUACAUGCAUUUUAUUAUUAAAGGUAAAAUGAGCUUAACUUUUUCUAUCUUCAAAGUUACUAUGCAACAGAGGGUGAAACUUAACCAGUGUGUUAAGGGUAUGUUACAGGAUCUUUGGCGAAUUUUUCAUAAUUUUUGAAGAAGGUUAACUAUUUACUCUAUUUCCUUUUUAAUUAAACAUGCUUAGCAAGGAAGGUGUUUUUUCUUUCCGAAUUGCACAACAAUUUACAUUUUUCCUGCAAACUUCACAGCAAAACAAAAUUAACCCAACUAGUUUCACAUUUUUUUGAGCUCUGGAUCAAAACGUAUGCAAAAAGGAAGAAUUAAUCUUAGAUUCCCAAAUUAAAGUCAAAACAAUGACUUAAAGUGCUAGACCAGAGCCCUAACCAUUUUUCUGAGCUUCUACACAUAGAAACAAGCAUCACAGAGUUGGUUUUACAUUUUUCCCACUUUUCUUCUAUUUAAUAGGAUUAAAAAGGCCUAAACCAUGAUUAAAAGCAUAUGAUAUUAUUUACAACAGUAACAUGAGCAAACUUAUUUUUCUUAGGAACUAGAUAGAGCAAGGAUUCCAACAAAAGUGGUUUGGUAUUUUUAUGAUUUUUCUACGAUUUACUGGGCAUUUACAAAGUUCAACCAUAUUUCUACCUAUUAUUUAAAAGAAAAGCCGUGGCAAACUUGCAGGUUAGCCCCUGGGUCUAUGGGUUAACUACGCAGAGGUCCCUGAGUUUUGCGCCCAGGCCCCUGGAAAGAAUGGGGAUGAUGCAAUGUAGUCCCCAGGGCGCGCGCGGCGGCGGCGAGGAAAUCCCCGGCGGUUCGUCGGCGGGGAUGGGGCAACAAGUGGUCGGAGGGGUGCGGGGGCUCACCUGAGCUCGGUUUGGUGGGGUUGGGGCGACGGAGAUGGUCGGUAGGGAUCAAAACACGGCGGCGGCGACAGAGCUUGGCUGGUGGCGGUGCAGGCGUCGUUCCGGCGCACUGGCGGCGUCGGGGAGGCCACGGGCUGCUCGGAGACGUGCGCGGAGGGGGGGCGAAGUGGGCGGCGAAGUUGCCGGAGUACGGGGUGGCGCGGAGGGGUGAGCUCCACGGGAGCUUAGCGGCGGCGCUGAGAAGGAAGCAGAGGCGUGGUUGCGAGCGGUGGCAAAGGGUGGCAUUGCCGGUGAGGGGGACCCUUUUAUAGGGCAGCGGUGGAGCGGAGGGUCGAGGUGGGGCUCCGGUGGAGGAAGGAUAAGGCCGGGAGCGGUGCGUGCGCGAGCGAGGCGGCCAUUGGCCAGCGGUGCCAUUGGGCAGGGGAGGCGGAGCUCCGGGUGGUCUCUGGCCGCGAUUGGCCUCGAGCGAUGCGUGUCUGAGGCCUCCGGUCUGUCGGCGGGCGAAGCGGAGGGCCACCGCGGGGGUUGGGCGAGCGGGCGGAGGCGCGGGACGUCGUUGGCGUGGUGGCUUCUCCAGCGGGUGGGCGAAGCGCGGUUGGGCAGAGCAGAGCCGCGGCAGAGGGAAGGGCACGCGCGCGGCCGACGGUUGGCCAGCCCGGCGUUCGCCCCGUCUUGUCGCAGGCGCGGGUUGGGCGCCGUGGCUCUCACCUUAUCGUUGUCUCGCCGGGGAUAGGGCGCCGGUGAGCUGCCGGUGGCCAGCGGCCACGAGGCACGCGGUGCGCGGGCGAACAUGCCCUGGCGCGCGGGCGUUGAGGCCCCUUCGGGCAGUAAGCCCGACCAGCUUUGAGAGAUCCUAUCUCAAGAUUUUGCAACACAACUUCCAAAACUCUUCUAAACAAACUUGUUCAACUCUGGACGUAGUUCAAACUUGGUUUAAGGUGCUGGUUUAGAUUGUGAAAGGAUUUGGAGAUAUCUCAUGCCAAAGUUUGCCAAAAAUAUGGAAAUCCAGACUUAGCCAAUUUUGGCCGGAGAGGUGGAAUUUCAGGAACUUAGCUAUGUUUGAGUCAACUUUAGGGCAGCUUCCAAGUUGAAUUAGACAGAAGUGUUAAUAGAGGAGUUGCUCUCCAAACUGAGGACUUCAACUUCUAUUUAGGGUAUUUCUGGAGUUUAGUUCAGAAAUUUGGAGGAACGCCCUCGCCAAGAGGUGCACUCUGAGCAGUUUUCCAGACUUAGCGUUGUGGUGCUCAGGGGCUGAGUUGACUGCUUUGCUCAACUUUGACCAAGAUUUUGAACAGGUUCUGGUUCGAUUUGGACCUGGGUCAUUGUAACAAACUUGGAAAACACUUGAGGUAUUACAACCUUUAUUAAGAGCCUGACUUGAGUUUAGAUAUGAAAUCGUGAGAUAAAGGCUUGCAAAGUUGGAGGAAAACUUGAAUUCCACGACUUGGAGGUUUAUAGGGUUCUUUAUUAUUCCGGUUUUGAUUCCUGUUUUUGACUUCCUCCCACUCCGAAUUAGCCAAAGUGACUUUAACAAAUAUUGUUUGAAAUUAAAAGUGUUACAACUCUUAUUUGGGCAAAAUUUUAAGUUUGUAUAUAAAAUCUCAAGUUUUAUUUUAAACUCCAUAAAGAGCUUCUUAGGGUUAAAAUGGUCAUUUCACUUCCUUUACUUAGUGAUUAACCACUGGUUUAUAUUUAAAGCACUUAAUUUAGGUAGAGUUGUUACAAGUAUCCACUCACUACUUUACCAAAUGGGUGCAGGCAGUCCCUCUGAAGACCGUGACGUUGGCCGUCAUGAUUGAAUUCAUAAGCGAGCACAUUAUCUAUUGGUUUGGUAUUCCUCAGACUGUUACGACCGAUCAGAGAACAAUGUUUACUUCAGGAGAGUUUGAGGAGUUCACUUCCGAUAUGGAAAUUAAGUUGUUAAAUUCUUCUCCAUAUUACGUUCAAGCUAAUGGUCAGACCGAAUCGUCCAAUAAAGGGAUAAUCAAGUGUAUCAAGAGGAAGGUAGAGGAGCAACCAAAGAGAUGGCACAUGACUUUAAGCGAGUCUUUGUGGGCCUACAGGAUGGCCUGCCACGGCGCUACUAAGGUGUCUCCUUAUCAAUUAGUGUAUGGAUAUGAGGCGGUGCUCCCUUAGGAAUUGAGGAUGGGGUCUAGACGCACGUCGAUUCAAGAUUAGUUGACAGCCGACGAUUAUUCUCUCCUUAUGAAAGGGGAGCUUGAGGAUUUGGUGGGUCAACGAUUGAGGGCCUUGAUCAGUAUUGAAGAGAAUAAGAAAAGACUUGCCAAGUGGUAUGACAAGAAGGUCAAGGUCAAGCAGUUCUCGCAAGGGGAUUUGGUAUGGAAAUUGGUAUUGCCGAUAGGGUCUAACCAUCCCAAAUACGGCUAGUGGUCGCCUACUUGGGAAGGGUCGUAUAAAUCGAUCGAUAUGUGCCAGGAAAUGCAUACGUAUUAGAGACCAUCGAGGGAGAGGAAUUUACAAGAGCCUUAAAUGGGAGAUAUUUGAAAAGAUACUAUCCCAGCAUAUGAGUGGACGCGUAGCCGAUGAUAUAGUGUAUCGAGUCGUUAUGGCCGAUUCCUAUUGACUCGUGUUUAUAUAGCCGAUGCAGGGAGGCAUCGCCUUGAGGACGAAACCUCUAAUCAAAUUGGCCGAUUAUUAUUCGGUACGGUGAUUGGAUACAUGGCCAACAUGGUACAAGUCGCCCUUAGACCAAAAGUACCAAUACAUCUAUCGGGUUACAAUAUGAUUAACUGCAUUUCAACUGGGCUUUGUUUUUAUUGAUCUCUCUUUGGACCCGGCCUAGUUCUAUUAAGAGACGGGUGCUCUUUUCCUCCCUAUCCGCCAUGGCAUCUUUGAGAGCGACCUGGCAGGGUAGCUGAUGACUCCUCUCAAUUGGCGGCUGAGGUGGCUCCCUGGAGCUGUUGGCUUCGAUGUGAUCCACGAUCUUCUUAAUGUGGGUCGGAAGAUGGUCUUUAAGCUCCUCACGGUGGGCUUUGAUCAGGUCUUGGUCCACCUGCAUCAGUGGUUCCUCAGAGUGCAUAAUUUCGAUAACUCGCUCAAGAUCAGGGCUGAGCCGGGUCGGCUGGACAAACAGCGGGCAAUCAGUUGUCGAAAAGAAUUGGUCAAGGAGCGCAAGGCUGAUCUCAUACCUCAUUGACGGGGGAAGAAGAAGACAUCUUGGCGCCCGGUUAGGGAUCUGAAAAUGGUCGAGCAGAGUGUAGAAGGAUGGAUGAGAUACGAGUGCCUCUGGGAGGAAUGUAGGGACCCCAUAUUUAUAGGAGAAAAGGUAAGGGGCAACGGUUGGCAAAGGCAUCUAUUCAAAGCAGAUGAAUGUUGAGCUAAAAGCUGCGAAGAGGAAACGUUCAAGUCCGUAUUCACACAAUGAUGGCAAAAGGGGCAUUAAAUGUUUGUGCAGAGGUGUUCAAAAGAUAAUUCAAUGUUUUGAUACAUUCAUUCAAGAAGAAUAUUAAUGGCCGCGAUUGCCUACUGGCGGAUCUGAUCCGCUGAAUCUAGAACUCGUUGGACAUCUUCGGCUGAUCCAAGAAUUUCUAGCAUGUUGCGAUGAAGCCGGAUGGCCUCAUGCGCAAGGGUUUGCCUCUCCUGCUUCAGAUCAGCGAUGACGGUCGUGAGAUCAUGAAGAUUAUUCUUUUUGGCGGUUAUAGCCUUUGUCACCUACUCCAUCUCCUUGGCAAUCUCUGCCCUAUGCUAUUUGAGACGGUCUAUUGUGCCGACGAUGUCUGGGCGAGAAUUUUCGAGUACGCCGAUUCGGUGAUGUACCUCUUGAGCUCGGUGUUUGUAGGAAUCCUUCUCUUCACAUGGCUUUGCCAGCUUGGCAUGAACGGCCAUGUGCCGCAGGGCUCUGAACACCGGGAUUUGCAUUGACUCGAUGUAUGUAGGAGGUGCAAGAGCUUUUUCUACAUCCUUCAGGACUCGGCCUUUUAUUUCGCUGAAGAUUUGCCAAAUCGGCGAAGCGUCUUCCACCAAUCGGCCGAUGUCAUCUUGAAGAAGUGCUCGGAUUCUCUGGAGCUUUGCACGUACUUCUUCCGAAAUUGAACCUGGAGCCACUUGUCGAGAGGCUACCUCUUCAUCAUCAGAAACAGCGAUCGCAAAUGAAAAGAGGCUGUUAUUGGGCGUAUCUUGUUCCUAUAAAAGUAAGAGAGGAAGGAACGGAUUAGCCGACAGUAGUGGGAAAUCGGUCGGAUUGGAUGUCGAAGGCCCUUACCUGUUUAAAAUGAAUUUUCUUCUGUUUGUGUUUGGGGGAUUGCUACCCUUGUCUCAGGAAUCAGCAUGGUUGGCUCGUCAGAAGAAGAAGACUCGACGGUGAUCGACGUUGUGUUUGGACCGGCUUCCUGAAAGUAACAAAAGGAGAGUCUCUAUAAGUAUGAAGCAAUAGUUAGAUCUAAGGAUGAGUACCAGUUACUUUACCUCUGUGAGUCGUCCGGCCGAUGACUGUUGGAAAGGUAUGAUUGAUGUACCCAGAGUGGCCUACAUUAGAAAUCGGUCAUUUUUGACUAAGGAAUAAGAGACUUGAGUAAGAUGUAUGUUCUUUACCUCAGCUGCAAGGAUUGCUGGUGGUUCGGUCUCUGCUUGGGAUGCGACCGAUUGCUGUGAGGUUUGCUCCGAAAGAAUUUGCGCAGCCUAACAAAAAGUGGAAAUUAAUACUGAUAGUAUACUUGGAGAAAUGUGAAGCAUAUAAAGUUACCUGAACAUCUUUUACCAAUAAGGAUGCAGCUGCUGAUCCGGCUUCCGUAGCGGCUUGGGGGUCGACCUCCUGGGCGAUCGGCAGAGUUGGUGUGGCUGAAGACUCGGCUGGUGGCACCGCCGAUUGAUCGGCCGGUUCUAUACGGGCGCGCACCCGGCGGCUUGUCUUCUUUGAAGAGGAUAUCUUCAUCUUCUGCUUCAAUCGGCCUGUGAUGAUAUCUUCGAUUGACGGGGACUGAAAGCCGAUGAUUGGAAAUGAAGUAUAUGGGUGGCGAUUCUCUAUCGGCCUGCCACUACAGUUGUGCGUUGGAGAGAGUUGGCUUUCAGACGACAAGAAAUGAGGGAAAUCAGUGGUAAUACUGUAAGAGUACGGUGUCAAAUCGGCCAGAAGGAUUGGUACCUCUGCAUUCGGAUCAAUGUUAGCGGGGUCCAGAUCAUUACAAUAUGUUGUAGGAGAUGUGCAGAAGAGGUGUUGUUUCCACUCACCCCACCAUAGCUUGAAUUGUUGGACAGCGAAGGGGGCCACAACCCAGUUGGCCAAUUCGAUGGUACUGGAAUCCGGCGUCAAGCUGCACAGCUGAUUGUAUUCAAGACCUUUAGAGAGCUCCUCCCGACACUUAACGCGGCCGGCAAAAUAAAUCUUAAUCGGCAUUUGUCUGAGGCCGAAUUGCCGCGCUGCCACUGAUGGGUUGUAGAAUUCAUAGGUUGGGGAGUCUUUUCCUGAGAAGAAGUUUGCUGGUAGGAUCCCAGGCUUGAUCAAAGUAUCCAUAAGCUCAUUAUCGAAGUAAUUGAUGGUUGAAUUGAAGCAGUCGGGGUUUUCAAAGAGUGGCUCAAUUCUCUGAUAUGGGUACCAGCUUGUAGUUUCUUCAUUGAAGCCGAUAUAGAAGCAUCUGAAAUACUCAGUUGUAUUUGUGGGGGUAAACUUGCUGCCAGGAGAAGCUGACGCUACCUCGCCAAGGAAGUGCAACGCCGUCUUAAUGUUGGGUUAUCCUCUGAUUCAAUAUUGGGGAAUGUCUUGGUCUCAACUCGUUCCCUGGAGAUCUUGCUCAUGUAUAAGUUGAGCCAGAUGGUGAUAAACCACCAGGGGCCACCAGAGUUCCCAAUCGGCUCUCCGGAUGACAGCUUGACUGCGAUUUGGUGCAUCAUAUGAUGAGCCAAUCCUAGCAGGUGUUUUCCUAAGGGGAUAGUAGAACCUUUUGCUAGGGCCUCGACCAGAGCCUGUGUAUUGGAGGAGGGGCCAACUGCUUUGCCACAGAAGAAGUGCUUCUCUAACCACAUCAUCAGGAAAGCUGUGUAUUCUCUAUCGCCGAUAGGACCGGUCUUCAUAUUUUUAUCAAUAUAGCAUUUCCACCUGCCGAUUCCCUUUGUUUCCAGGCGAUGGGUUGGUUUGAUCAGGAAAUUGAAGGGCAAGUCGGGGGAAGAGAUGUCAAGACCGGUCAGCAUCAGGACGUCGGCCAAAGUAGGGGUCAUGGGCCCAUGUCCAAAAAGGAAAACAUUGAGAGCGUCAGACCAGAAAUAAGAAGCUGCCAUGACCAAAGGUUCAUUCUUCUCCAUUUGAGACAGAUAUAAGUUUAUGCAUUGGCCGAUUUUUAGUUCAUCCCAAAGAACCCUCUAAGAAUUGGACAUCCUUUGAAACCACUCUUUCCAGCCAAGGGUUUCGUUCGGCCAAGAUCUAAAUGCACCUGUCCACUGGCUUAAAUCCAUUGGUGACUGCUUGAAAGGGAUCAUGUGGGUUUCCAGGUUGAUCAAUUCAGUGGGAUCUAGAUUCCCCAUGGGGCUAAGACCGACGAGGCCGGGUGCGUCAGAAACAGGGAUGGUGAUUUGCUGCCUAAGUUCCUAAAAAGGAUACAAAAGGAGAACUAAGAACAGAUCUAAAAGAUGCGUGAAUGGUGAAAAGUAAAAGUAAAAACUUUGGGAUAUUUACCUCUGGAAUGAAAGCCAUAGUCGCCUAUGGAGCCGCUAUUGGAGUAAACAGAAUAGGAUGGACGGAAGAUGAAGGAGGAAUCACCGUAGGAAUGCAGUUGGAAGAUGAAAGGGUGCCGAAAUGCGAUGGAAGAUGAUUCGCCGGGGAAAAAAGAGUUUCCCAGCUUGUGGAGAAGAAGCGGCGGAGAAUGCAAAUAUUUAAAGAUGGUUCGAGAGAAGGGUAAAGGUGGGAUUUUACCGCGCUGUCUGCACAAAUUUCGGGAAGAGCGGUUGCCUGCGAGCGCCUAGCUCGAAAAUUGUGAUCAUCAGAGAGAAGACCGCAGAACAGAAAGGAGCUUUCGCCGUGCCCGCCUCGGAGGAUGAGUUAGAGUUGAAAAAAAUUUGAAGCAAAAAGUUUCACUCUGAAACUUGGGGGCAUGUGUUGACGCCGGAUUUUGACACGUACUUGAAAUCGGCGUCAAAGAAGGAGAAAGGGGGGCCGAUGCGGCGGACUAGAAGCUACAGUUGGGAAUCGGCCGAUUGAAGCUACAGUGUUUCAGCCGAUUGGUGGAAGAAAUCGGUGGAGGCUGGCCGAUUGAGAGCCAAAGCAGUUUGGCCGGUUUGGGCCUAAGGUGGACCAGGAUGAAGAUUUGCUGAAGAGACAGGCCCGUGGGAAAAUAAUAACCAACUCGAAUAUGAGUCGUGUUUGUAACUAUUUGUUGUCGUUUGAAAUUAGAGAUAGAUUCUAGUCGGUUAUGAAAUCAGUUGCAACAGGCAAUAAUAGCUGCCUCGAGAGGCUUGUAAAAAAAUAACACACAAUCAAUAAAACAAAUUUACUCUUUCCUCGUACUUUACUUUCAAGUCGGCGACUUCGCCAAAACCUUUUUCUUUCACGAGUUCGUACGGAUUGGCAGGGCUGCAUCUACAUGAUCUCCGACCGAUUCUGUAAGUUCCGCUUAUCGAGUAAUAUCUAAGCUUUAACUUCGGGCGCAUCGCUGUUGUUUCAUUUAGAUUUAUUCACUAGUUAUCGAUAUCAACUACAGUCAUAGGUUUUACCUGUUAUUUUAGUUUUUAUCACCAAUUAUCCAGCUUGAGGUACGAGCUAUCGGCUUCUAUUAUUUUUAUCCUUUAUCAUCACAUAGCUGAUUAGAUCUACUCCAAGUGUUGCUUUUGUAGUGUUGUUUAGGUUGCUCUAGAAGUUUUCCUUACGAUUGCUACGUGAGUAUCGGCUGUCUUAUAGCCGGUCAUCUCUAUAGUAAAUCGGCCGAUUCGCUAAUACGCUCUUCAAGACAGAUCGGAACUCUAGCCGAUCGAAACCCCUAAAAUUUAAUAUUCUUCUUUCCUUUGUCAAUCAACAGGUCAGAUUGACUGGCACGCCGCGCGAACCGCACCAGGGCAAUAACCUGAACAGGAGCUAAGCAGAUUCUCCCGGGUCGUGUGUCCGACGCUGAGGGUCAUCGGCCAAUUUUCAGGGCCAACAACAGCUUUUGGGCAAAAGCAUAUAGGACUUUUAGGGGGUGUUUGGCAUGGCUCUAGAGCUGAACUCCGGUAACUCCAGCCAAUUUUCCAGCCAAACACCCUAGCUCCAAAACUCCAUGGAGCUGCAGUGCAAAUGGGAUGGAGUUUUGGCGCACCUCUUUUGUAGCUCCAAAACCACCUAAUAUGAACCUCCUCGUGGAGUUGGUGGGUAAUUAACCAUCAAUGCCACUGAUUAAAAUAAAAAUGAUUCACUUCUAUUUUCUCUCGAGACCCCUCCCCGCGCCGCCCGAGGCCUCCUGAUGCCGCUCUCCUGCGCCGCCGCCUAGCGCCGCCGACAGCUGCUGUCGCCGUCCGUGCCCCGCGUCCUGCGGGCUACCGCCUCGCCAUCCCCAUGAGCCCCCUGCACCGCCGUCAGAGCCGCCAGCCGAGCCGCUGCGGCCGGGUUUCCGCCGUCUUGCCGCCUCUUUCCUCAACUGGAGUGAGCCAUCAGCAGCAGCAGAUUCCCCUCGGCGAGCCACGCCCGUUUCGCCGGUUCCGUUGUCACCCUGCUGCCGGAGUGCCGCCGCCACCGUGAAAACCGCCCGCCCCCCGAUCUCCACCACCACGCUGACCACCUCCGUCCAUGCCCUCCGCCGGUGAGCACACCCGUAGAUUCCCCUCGACCCCCUCUUCCUCUUGCGCCACCUGCCCAAAACACCACCUCGCCGGAGCGCCAGCAAGCUAGCUGGCCAGAGCCCCGGUGAGAGGAGGAAGAAGGAACCUGGCUCUUUUGUGAUUGGGUCCUUGAGGAAAGCUAAAAUCUUUUGCUCUGUUCCUUGCUCCCGGCGAGAGGAGGAAGAAUAGUGGGCUUCUGUGGUGGAGGGCGAGAUCGAACCAGGAGUCAGAAUGUCAAUCUACCCUCAAACUCCUCUUUUCUGGAGUUGGGAACACCCUCCCAACCAAACACCUUCAUCAGACAGCAGGUUGAAAAGAGGCACAUGAGGCUCAGCCGCUUAGGCCCACGGGCAAAAAAAAAAAACUCUUACUUUAUGGCGGAGUAGUUGCUGUUCCAGUGUGCAGGUAAAUUGUCGCAAAUGCCCUCUUGUGGUCGCGUUGCAGUAGCCGAUAAGGCGUCCAAACGUGAGGUGCACACACCUGAUCUGAUCCUCUCAGUGGAAACGGGCCAGGUCCAUGCAACCCAGGACAGGAAGGCUCUAUACCUGGGCCGAACGGUAGCCCAAGAGGCCGACAGUAAGUGAGCUCACGGGUGACGAACGGCCCAGAAGCCGCCCCAAUCCGGCCACCGCCACUGAGCCGGCUCGACUAAACCGGAUCGCCACGCAGCCCGACCGCGCAGGCGUACUUCCCGAACUACCCCCGGAGAUUAUCCAAUCGGACGGCCAAGCGCCACGCACUGCCAAAGAAUUCCCCGAAAUGACCCUACUCUUCCCUUUGCCUCCCUCGCGUGCCGCCGGUUCUGCUCGACCGGACCAGCGGUUCAGGCGCCGAAUAUUCGCCCGCGGAUAUUUCUUGCCCGGUGCGUCAACUCCGCCGCUAUAAAUACCCUCAUAGGGCGGCCGCUAGGGUUUUAGUGCUUCUCUCCCGGCGGCGCCUCCACAUAUCGUCUCUCAGAUCGGGAGGCGAAACCAAGGUGACUGACCUCAUCCCCUUUCUCCUCCCUCCGUCUCUGGUUGCUAUAGCUAUUUCAUCCAUGCGCUGUCCUUAUAGCUGAUUAGUAUUUUUACUAGUGGAGUUCGAGUCGUUUUGGUUCCAUUCAGUAGUGCUUGUGUUGAUUGGAUUGAAUCGGAGGACUCGAAGUGGUUUGUGCUGCUCGAAUCGUAAGUUUGUUGGGCUAAUCUCGAUGGAAUUUAUGUCAAUUCGUUGGUUUAGUGGUCCUUGGCAGUUCUCUCUGUGAUAGGCCCGUCCGAUCUGUAGAGAUGCGGUGGAAUCCUGGUUUACUCAAAACGGUUCUAGAUUCCUCUGUUCUUCCCUUAUUUUUUGUUUCGAUUACUUAGUUUGCACGUUAGGGGCCUAUGAAGUUUAUGUGCUCGGAUCCUUUAGUGAAACUGAUCUGUUUACUCAGAUGUGCUCGGAUCCUUCAGUGAAACUGAUCUGUUUACUCAGAUCUGCUGGUAGCUAACAGGUUCAGGGUAGUUAUGUUGAUGGUCUAGUUUUGGUAGUUUCAUUGUCGAUUUCUGUCCAUUUUUGUCAUGUUCUGUCCAUAAAAAUACUAUCUGUGCUUCUUCAUAUCUUGUAAUAUGAAUUCAUUUGACAAACUAUGCAUUUCUUUUAGAGUGUUUGUCUAAAUUAAUCUUCUGGUAUAUCCCUAUGCCAGUCUGUUAAUAUGUCUGUAUUAUAGUGUUUUGUUUGAGGUGGUAAUGUACAUGGUGCACCCUGCAGUUUUUCAUGUCUAAUAUUGAAUCUCCUUGUUUGCUGUAUGUAUUAAGGAUUAGUUUCACUUCAAAUAGCUUACUGCUGAUGCUUUCUUGUUUGUUUAAUAUGCUGUGUAAUCAUGUUGACCCUGAGGUUUGUAAGAAUUCCUCUUAUUUGAUUAUUGCAUGGAUUAGUGUCCUGAAGGAUAUGGCUCCUUUGUACAAUUAAGAUAAUUCACUUUUUUUUCUCAACUUUUAUAUGCUUACUAGCCCAUUAGGUUGUGUAAACAUUAGAGUGCUUUAGCCUGGUAAAGAUGAGUUAAGCAUUUUAAAUAAAUUUUUGGAUUUGGUUGAUAUCAUCCUUAACACCUGCAUUUAAACAAUUUGUCUCUUUUGAUCCUGACUAUUACAGUGGGUGUUACUUUCUUUAGUCAUUCUGUGGUAUCAAAGUUUCUGGUGUAGUUGUGUAAUUAUGGUUUUGGUUGGAUUCUUACUAGUAUUUUCUACCUUUAAACAGCAGGAAAUUAUAUACAUAUUUGUAGUGUGAUCUUCAUAAGAAGUCAAGAUGGUGAAGUUCACAGCGGAAGAGCUCCGUGCCAUCAUGGACAAAAAGAACAACAUUCGUAAUAUGUCCGUUAUUGCUCAUGUGGACCACGGUAUGUUAAGAACAGUGUUUAAUUAAAUGUUAUGCAUACCUGUUCCUCGACAUUUUUCAGGCUUUUCAAUUUUAGCAAUUGUUUUUUUUCAGUAUUAAAUCUCUGAAUUGUUCUUGCCAGUGAAUGCGAUUCAUGCUGCGUUAGCUAUCACAGACCUAUUUUACAUAUGUAGAAAUAUUCAUUUCAUGUUGGAAAUAGGCUUAUUGUUCUUUUGUAAUUAAUGUAUUGGUUUAUCUCUAGAUAUUGCAGUGUAUAGUAUCUGUUUACUAUGUGUUUUAUAUUGGGAUGUAUUGUUGUCUUUGUUAACUUGUGAGAGGUUGUCUAUCCCUAAUGUUGUACUAUUCUUGAUGCAUCUUCGGACUGACUUUUAAGUUCCACACUAUAGUCUUACAUCUCAUUAAUUCUUUGCAGGCAAGUCUACCCUUACAGAUUCCCUUGUGGCAGCUGCUGGGAUUAUUGCCCAGGAAGUUGCUGGUGAUGUCCGCAUGACUGAUACACGUGCAGAUGAAGCAGAGCGUGGUAUUACAAUCAAAUCCACCGGUAUUUCUCUGUACUAUGAGAUGACUGAUGAGUCACUGAAGAGUUACAAGGGUGAGAGAGAUGGUAACCAGUACUUGAUCAACCUUAUCGACUCACCUGGGCACGUUGAUUUUUCUUCGGAAGUCACAGCUGCCCUUCGUAUCACCGAUGGUGCUCUAGUGGUGGUUGACUGUAUUGAAGGUGUCUGUGUGCAAACUGAAACUGUGCUCCGCCAGGCUCUUGGUGAGAGGAUUAGGCCAGUGCUUACUGUGAACAAGAUGGACAGGUGUUUCCUUGAGCUUCAGGUUGAGGGUGAGGAAGCCUACCAGACUUUCUCCCGUGUCAUUGAGAAUGCCAAUGUCAUUAUGGCAACAUAUGAAGAUAAGCUCCUUGGUGAUGUCCAAGUCUACCCGGAGAAGGGAACUGUUGCUUUCUCUGCUGGUCUGCACGGCUGGGCCUUUACCCUCACCAACUUUGCCAAGAUGUAUGCUUCGAAGUUUGGAGUUGAUGAAACUAAGAUGAUGGAGAGGCUCUGGGGUGAGAACUUCUUUGACCCAGCCACAAAGAAGUGGACCACCAAGAACACAGGCUCUGCUACCUGCAAGAGAGGAUUUGUUCAGUUCUGCUAUGAGCCAAUCAAGCAAAUCAUCAACACCUGCAUGAAUGACCAGAAGGAUAAGUUGUGGCCCAUGCUUCAAAAGCUUAAUGUUACCAUGAAGUCUGAUGAGAAGGAAUUGGUUGGCAAGGCUUUGAUGAAGCGUGUUAUGCAAACUUGGCUUCCAGCUAGUACUGCACUGCUUGAGAUGAUGAUAUUCCACCUUCCUUCCCCAUCAAAGGCACAAAAGUAUCGUGUGGAGAACUUGUACGAGGGACCCCUUGAUGAUAUCUAUGCUACUGCUAUCAGGAACUGUGAUCCGGAGGGUCCUCUUAUGCUGUAUGUUUCUAAGAUGAUUCCAGCAUCUGACAAGGGCAGGUUCUUCGCCUUUGGUCGUGUCUUCUCUGGGAAGGUUGCUACUGGUAUGAAGGUUAGGAUCAUGGGUCCCAACUAUGUCCCUGGCCAGAAGAAGGAUCUGUACGUCAAGAGUGUCCAGCGUACUGUUAUCUGGAUGGGAAAGAAACAAGAGUCUGUUGAGGAUGUUCCUUGUGGUAACACUGUUGCUAUGGUUGGUCUGGAUCAGUUCAUCACGAAGAAUGCUACACUCACCAAUGAGAAGGAGGUUGAUGCAUGCCCAAUCAGAGCAAUGAAGUUCUCUGUCUCCCCUGUUGUGCGCGUUGCUGUUCAGUGCAAGGUUGCCUCUGACCUACCCAAGCUCGUUGAAGGUUUGAAGCGUCUGGCAAAGUCUGAUCCUAUGGUCCUCUGUACAAUUGAAGAAUCUGGUGAGCAUAUUAUUGCUGGAGCUGGUGAGCUUCACCUUGAGAUUUGCCUGAAGGAUCUGCAGGAAGACUUCAUGGGUGGUGCUGAAAUUAUUGUUUCUCCUCCUGUUGUCUCUUUCCGUGAAACUGUUCUUGAGAAAUCCUGCCGAACAGUCAUGAGCAAGUCCCCCAACAAGCACAACCGUCUUUACAUGGAAGCCCGUCCCUUGGAAGAGGGUCUCCCUGAGGCUAUUGAUGAGGGCCGCAUUGGUCCACGUGAUGAUCCCAAGGUUCGCUCCAAGAUCCUCUCUGAGGAGUUUGGUUGGGACAAGGAUCUUGCCAAGAAGAUUUGGUGCUUUGGAC